This 47703-nucleotide long non-coding RNA is filed under the name Triticum aestivum (bread wheat). Its description in RNAcentral is "long non-coding RNA (TAES_LNC018409)". Lineage: Eukaryota; Viridiplantae; Streptophyta; Magnoliopsida; Poales; Poaceae. The record is from RNAcentral.
AAUAAGAAGGUAAACUCUUGAUGAAAAUAUGAAUGAAAUUGCAUCUGAUGUCUUUUGAUCACAUACCGAUCAAAUUAUGCAUCACACAUUAAUAUUUCAGUUUUGUACAAUAAUACCGCAUCGGAAAAUCUGACCCCUUAUUACAAAAUUGACAUCCAGCCAUCCAGCGUUCACUACUGCUGGAAAAUAACGAGCAGGUGCAUGCUCCAUGGCACUCACAUCGAUGGAUCGGACCCACGGUAUGUUUGAUAUGAUAUAUUCACGCAUGUAUGGAUGUAUAUGUAGGAGUUGAGCGAUGGGAGGGGAGAUUAAUUUACAGCUCCCAUGUGUCAAACUUGCCGGAGACGAAGUCAUAGUGGCCGCCGACCAGCUUGAGGGUUCCAUUGCCCACAGGCCACAGCCUCCUUGACGAAGGGGCACGUUGACUGCCUCCUGUGGAAACGUAACGAACGGUUCAGAAAUAUUUCAUCUCUUGGUCAGCGAGUUAAUCCAUUCAUUCACAUGCAAAGUACGAAAUGGUAGAUGGGCAAUGGUGUAAACGUGCGAACCUUUUCCAAGACGCCGCACUGGUCCUCGAAAGGCAUCUGGGAGCACUUGGCCUUGACCUUCUUCCUCGCCGGGAAGCCGAUCCUGACCCAGUCCUCGACGAAGUGGCUGAUAGACACCAACCAAGCAGCUCCGGUCAGAAACAAAUGGAAGAAAAGUUCAUUCAGAUUCAACCCGUGUUUUCCUUAUCUACAAACUUACAAGGUGUCGUCGGCACCAUCCUUGAGGUUGAGGAGGGCCUUGAUCCCGCUGCAGCGGCUGUGGCCGAUCACCACGAUGACCUCGACCUUGAGGGCGCAGACGGCGUACUCGAUGGCCGACCCAACAUCGUUGUCCUUGUUCUUGCAGUAGCACGGGACCAUGGCGGCAAUGUUGCGGACGGUGAAGGCCCAGCGUCACCAAUGGGCAUACGCGCGAGUCAGCAAAAGCGAACACCAUUUUUUUCUAAUUGACAACAUUUCACAGUUUUGUUUGUGAUAAGCAGAUACGCUAUUAUAUGCAGGCUUUGACUGCUUUGGCCAGCCGGGUGGAACAGAUGAAUAAGCACAGAAAAAAAAAAGAAUAAGCACAAUCUGCUGAUAGCAUGAUAUGUGGAGUGCACGUUUCUGAGACAGCAUUGCAACAAAGCCUACCACUCUUGACAUUCUGUCCUGGGCCCCUUUUUAUCCAGACCGGUGGGAGAAAACCGGAAAUAAAUAAAUUUUGCUUUUGCAAAAAGGAACCGAAAACACAGAAAGGCAAGCAAAGCAAGUGGCGGCAAGGUUUUUCCGUGGCUCGCCCACACCAAAAUACCAAUUCAAAAGUUGAUGAUGACCCUUGACAGUAUAGACCCAACUAACGACUUGAUGAUCUAUCGGCCAUGACUUUUUGCGAGUUAUCUAGAAUCUAGAAUUGAUGACAGGCCCACAGUCUGCAAGUUGCUCCUCGGAUUGAUAGCAGUAUAGCACUUCCAUGGUAGGGCCUUCAUAAUUAUGCACGGAGAGCGGCAGGGCCACAGCCAUGGAUAGCUUUUAUGCCCUGUUCACGGUCCUUGUGUUGCGGCCGGUGCCAAGAUGAUGAAGCUUCCAAGAUGGCCGUCAUUAUCAAAAGAUGUUUAUGUUCAAAUGUGAUAGUGCGGAGUGAUGACUAUUUUCUACUCUCUCCGUCACCUAAUAUAAAAGCACUUUCUAGUGUCAAAAAGCUCUUAUAUUAUGGAACAGAGGGAGUAAUUAAGAAAAUAAUAGGAGAUGGCUGAGGGGACCUGAAAUUCAACACAGCUAGGUUGUUCCGUGCAUUUUUUUUAUCAAGGGAACCUCAAUAACCUAUCAUGGCAUUAUCAAGCACGCCAAUCUGGAACCUCAGAGAAGGAGAAAAUACUUAUUCUUGUACUACUUGCAAGAUUUGUAACAUCAAGUUAUCCAACUACUGCUACUCUUUAUAACAGGAAAAGCAGGAAAGAGAAGAACUAUAUUCUUUCUUAUAUCCAUCGUGUCCACAAGGCCACAAAGAGAAAAGGACCGUGACAUCUCAAUAAGCCAAAUCAUAUAUCACGACAACACACGUGGGCGAACUAUAUUCUUUCUUUACCACAGCAUGCAUGAUCCAAUUUCUUGGAGGUGCAUGAAAGAUGGGGGUCAGUCAGGAAGGGAAUCCACAAUUAUAUGUCGUAGGAGGAUUAACUGUCCCUCUUGGUUGUUGGUUUAACAGCACAUAUCCUAGUACAAGUGGCCGGCAAUGGCCCAUUCAAUUUGGACAAAGCAGCCUUUUCCAUUUCUACAAAGUACUAAACGGGCUAAAUUAACACAUAAACAAAGCACUAAACAUUGAGCACCCAGACUACACAAACACAACACUAAUAAUAAACAGGUACUUACAGAAUAAACUCAUAACACUAAAGACUAUAAUUUCUCCUUCUAAUUCUGAUGGAAACUACAAGAGUCUGCUACGUAUUUUUAUUGAUUUUUAAAUAAUAAUACAAAGUCCAAAAGAUAGCAAACAACAAGCAAAAAUAAAUAAAGAAUACAAACAAGAAAAUUGCAACAACACUGCUCAGUAGAGGCUAACAUAUACAGAUAUAUACAGUUGGGCUGAUCAUCUGAAAGACUGCACCCCCUGAGGCAGAGUCACGAAGGACUUCCUAUUGGCCCUAUGUGUCAGAAGCUUGAGUUCUUCCUUUAAGCGCCGCCUGCAAAGCAUAAAGGCUAGGGGGUACGUUGUUGAAGACAAACUCAUUCCUGGCGUUUCAUAUAGCGCAAGCCAGAUGAAUAAAUAUAUACAUAGCGAAUGGUAGAUUUAGAUGAUCUCUGAGCUUAGCAACCUGUGCUUGAAUAUCAGAAUAAUAACGCUCUAGCUUGGGAAGAUAUAGGUCCAGCACAUAUGAGUAAACCUGCAAUGGUAAAAGAAGGUGAUCUCUGGUUUCCAAAGUGAAGUCAUUACACAUGGGAGACGUGUAAUCCUCAACAAGGACUAUUUUUUCUUUGUAAAAGUUCUCUGGAAUUGAGCUGGCUCAUCAAGAGGAGCUAAAAGAAUUUUAUUAUGGUUGAGUUGGUUACAAGCUUUCCAAAGCCACUGGAUAGCAGGAAUUGUCUGAUGGGAUUUCUUCUUCUUCUUCUUCUUCUUCUUCUUCUUCUUCUUCAAUGUUGCAACAUGCAGCACACUAAUCUUCUAAUUCCUGUACACAAGUGUCUUGCAUGGCUGUUGUAGCACCCCGGUACCAACACUAUUCAGAUCUAGCCAUCUCAUGUAGACUUCACACAGAACCAAUCACAAGGACACUAAAGCGUCUCAUAAGGAACACGUCGAAACAUGGCUGUCAGGUGAAUCAGUUGAUAUCACAACACAAAUAAUGAAAUAAUCUAAAAUUACAACAACAACAACAACAACAACAACAACAACAACAACAUACAUUUGUAUACAGCAAUUAAUACAGCAAGGGUGUUUCGACCAAGAUCCAAGUCAUACAAUGGAACCAAAUAAACCUUAGAUAGGUAAGAAUACAAAUUGCCUUCAAAAGGAUAAAACAAAAUCAAGUGGCAGCCAUCCUUGCCCAACCGGCUGUUCGUGGGAGAACGAGCUAACUUCGUCAAUCACCAUACCGGUAAGUGUUUGUUAUAGCAAGUGAGUACAUGGUGUCCUCCAAAAGUCUUAUUACACUGGGUGACUGACACACUAACAAAGCAAUAUGUAUGAAAAUGGAUAAGUGGUGAAGCAGUUGCAAGCACCUAUGCAACACGCUUCAACAACCGUCUAGCGGAGAUAAGGAAUAGAGCACACAAGAACCUCCUAUGCUAAUCGUGGUGCAAUGCCACCCCACAGGUUGCGCUCAAAUUGAGAGACUACCAUAUUGCAAACAUAACAGAGUCUUGCAUUCCUCUUCGCACUAUCCACCUAGAAGAUUCCCGAAGGCUUAUAGUUGGCAAGUUUUACUACUUACUUGUUGAACUUGCACAAGCUCUAUUACUAACAAUAUUACAGGUGGGCAAGUUUUUAUAUAUUAUCAGUUGAAGUUGUUCUAUGAACUGAGAUCAAUCACCAAGUCGGCCAUAAUCGCGGGCUGGUCUUCUCGAAAGGAGUUAACCAUGCAGAGGUUCACCAACACACCUGUUAUAGGCUCCAUACAUACAUGCAUCAAAACUAGGCUACAACCCUUUACACGCAUGUAUGAAGGGCAACAUCGGUAGAUCCAAAUGACACAACAACGCUUGCUGGACGACACCAGCUGCUGUGACCCAUGACAUGUUGAGCAAGGCAGUCUCGAACGAACGGUCUUUCAUCGCUAAUACAUCUUAUUCUAGGAAGCCACCUGACGACUUGGCAUCUAAUCCAAAGUUCGGUCGCAGCUCUGUGUUGGCCUCAACGGUGAGUGGGACAUGGUCAAGACCGAUGCCCAGAACUGAGGUCAUCCGCCAGCCAAGCCACAAUUUGUGAACGACCAAGGGUUGUAUCCCCAAACCAAGGUUAACCACCUAGUUGAUCAGAAUGGAAGAAGCAAAUAUAGUACCAACACUGUGGCCCUUAGACAGUCUGCAACUUGGGAAUUGGCCGAGCAGCCCCAUAAAUCACCCACAUAUGGUUAGUGUUCUUAGUGCUGGUUCAAGACAACAAGAACUUGGGUCCUAGUGCGACCUAAGUGGAACGAAACACUUAGGCGCAAGCCAGCAGGCCUCCCACCUUCAGCCUUUCCUGACGUACUACCACAUUCAAGCUGUAUAUCUCAACGUUGAGUAAAGAGUGUAACAGAACAAUGUGAAUAUACCCCAAGAAUAGCAUAAGCAAAAAACAUGCCUCAGCAACAACCCUAAGCAUGCAUACCAUGAAACCAAGCAGGCUGAGCGAGCAACAAGAAAAGCAGGAACAGUUUAUGCUAGGAAAUGGAAGGUACAAAUAGUACCAUGGAAAUGGAGAUAAUAUGUAAGAUAUUUGGAUAGGUAUCAAUGACGCGAGACAACAUCGUGAAACUAUUGCAAAUAAACCUAUAUCAAGCAUCCAGUGUAAUUAUCAUCCUUGCAUGUUAUCCAUGGUUGGUAGAAGAGCAUGCAUUUGCGUAUCUCGCAUCAUCUCUGAGCCUUAUCCACGAAGAAGGAAACGACAUUGGGGCACAAGAAAUAGAUGCAAUCUCAUAGCUAUGGCAAAAGAUCUAGCAUGUUCAUGAUAUGCAAUGCAUCGCAUGGAAGGGAGAGACAAAGCAAAAGAUCCAGCAUGUUCAUCAUAUGCAAUCCAGCAUGUCAACCAAGUUUCUAACCAAAAUAUCGAUAUGUAAUACAAAAUAUCUUCAUUUUGAUCUAUCAUUCUGACCAAGUUUUGAAAUGUUGGUGUUUUAUUCUAUAAUCUUUGUCAAACAUAUCAAAGUUUGACUUUCACAAAAACCGAAGCACCUUAUAUUUUGGAACGAAUGGAGUACCAAAUAUCACCAAUUUCGGGCUUUUUUGAGCUUUCGAGCCGGGGUCUGGGUGAAAACAACGCCCAAUUCUAGACUGACCAUCGAGCUUUCGGGUCGGGUUGUUAAUGGCUAGGUUUAUUCUCAGUAUAUAAUUAACAAAGUAGGAGUAAAGCUAUUUCCAUCGACUAGGGCGAAACCUAGGUAAAUCAUGUUCUGAGACUAUCGGUGACAUAAGGUGACGUCCCAUGACUAGGUAAAUCCCAUAGAACUACCGUACAAGUUGUGAGGCACCAACGAAAUUAGACGAUACGCGCCAUUCCUUUUGAAAAAAGGGAAAUUUUAGUCCCAACACAUCGUCGCAAAUCACGGACUGUCAUUUUCCAAUGUCGAUGUCAUUGGUCAAGCAAAGAUCUCAAAUCUUUCAUUCCGUUUAUAGUGGUCUUAGCAAUUUCGAUUUUUUUCUGAGAAAACUAAUGUCCUUAUUAGUUCUACAAACUCUUGUGUUCUUAGGGUAGUGCGGCCUAGAACGAUUGUUUGUUCCUCACAAGAAAGUCUGAAACAACUAGCUAGUGCCACACACCAUAGGGAAAACAAAACCUUAAGAGCGAAUGUCUGAUAGGUAGUCAGUACAUCCAUAUCCAUACAUUUACCGUUUAUACAGUCUAACAGGCCAUAUGGGAGGGAUAUGCUGAAGGAAAUAUGCCCUAGAGUCAAUAAUAAAGUUGUUCUUUAUAUUUCCUGAUAUCAUGAUAAAUGUUUAUUAUUCAUGCUAGAAUUGUAUUAACCGGAAACUUAGUACAUGUGUGAAUACAUAGACAAACAGAGUGUCACUUGUAUGCCUAUACUUGACUAGCUCGUGAAUCAAAGAUGGUUAAGUUUCCUAGCCAUAGACAUGAGUUGUCAUUUGAUUAACGGGAUCACAUCAUUAGAGAAUGAUGUGAUUGACUUGACCCAUUCUGUUAGAUUAGCAUUCGAUCGUUUAGUAUAUUGCUAUUGCUUUCUUCAUGACUUAUAGAUGUUCCUAUGACUAUGAGAUUAUGCAACUCCCGAAUACCGGAGGAACACUUUGUGUGCUACCAAACGUCACAAUGUAACUGGGUGAUUAUAAAGGUGCUCUACAGGUGUCUCUGAAGGUACUUGUUGGGUUGGCAUAGAUCAAGAUUAGGAUUUGUCACUCCGAUUGUUGGAGAGGUAUCUCUGGGCCCUCUCGGUAAUGCACAUCACUAUAAGCCUUGCAAGCAAUGCAGCUAAUGAGUUAGUUGCGGGAUGAUGUAUUACGGAACGAGUAAAGAGACUUGUCGGUACCGAGAUUGAACUAGGUAUUGAGAUACCGACGAUCGAAUCUUGGGCAAGUAACAUACCGAUGACAAAGGGAACAACGUAUGUUGUUAUGCGGUUUGACCGAUAAAGAUCUUCGUAGAAUAUGUAGGAGCCAAUAUGAGCAUAGGUUCCGCUAUUGGUUAUUGACCGGAGACGUGUCUCGGUCAUGUCUACAUAGUUCUCGAACCCGUAGGGUCCGCACACUUAAAGUUCUGUGAUGAUCGGUAUUAUGAGUUUUUUUGUUUUGAUGUACCGAAGGUAGUUCGGAGUCCCGGAUAUGAUCACGAACAUGACGAGGAGUCUCGAAAUGGUCGAGACAUAAAUAUCGAUAUAUUGGAAUCCUAUAUUUGGACAUCGAAAUGGUUCCGGGUGAAAUCGGGAUUUUACCGGAGUACCGGGAGGUUACCGGAACCCCCCGGUAAUUGUAUGGGCCUUAAUGGUCCAAGUGGAGAGAGAGAGAGAGGAGGCCAGGGCAGGUCGUGCGCCCCCUCCCCCUCUUGUCCGAAUUGGACUAGGAGGGGGGGCGCCCCCCUUUCCUUCCUCUCUCUCUCCCCCUUCCUUCUCUCCUAGUCCAACUAGGGAAAGGGGGAAUCCUACUCCCGGUGGGAGUAGGACUCCUCCAGGGCGCGCCAUAGGGGCCGGCCAUCUCCCCCUCCUCCACUCCUUUAUAUACGUGGCCAGGGGGCACCCCAUAGACACACAAGUUGAUCAUUGAUCUUUUAGCCGUGUGCGGUGCCCCCCUCCACCAUAAUCCACCUCGGUCAUAUCGUAGCGGUGCUUAGGCGAAGCCCUGCGUCGGUAGCAACAUCAUCACCGUCAUCACGCCAUCGUGCUGACGGAACUCUCCCGUGAAGCUCUGCUGGAUCGGAGUUCGUGGGACAUCACCGAGUUGAACGUGUGCUCAACUCGGAGGUGCCGUGCGUUCGAUACUUGGAUCGGUCGGAUCGUGAAGACGUACGACUACAUCAACUGCUUUCUCAUAACGCUUCCGCUUACGGUCUACGAGGGUACGUGGACAAUAGUCUCCCCUCUCGUUGCUAUGCAUCACCAUGAUCUUGCAUGUGCGUAGAAAUUAUUUUUUAAAUUACUAUGUUCCCCAACAGUGGCAUCCGAGCCAGGUUUUAUGCGUAGAUGUUAUAUGCACGAGUAGAACACAAGUGAGUUGUGGGCGAUACAAGUCAUACUUCUUACCAGCAUGCCAUACUUUGAUUCGGCAGUAUUGUUGGAUGAAGCGGCCCGGACCAACAUUACGCGUACGCUUACGCGAGACUGGUUCUACCGACGUGCUUCGCACAAAGGUGGCUGGCGGGUGUCAGUUUCUCCAACUUUAGUUGAAUCGAGUGUGGCUACGCCCGGUCCUUGUGAAGGUUAAAACAACACUAACUUGACGAAAUAUCGUUGUGGUUUUCAUGCGUAGGUAAGAACGGUUCUUGCUCAGCCCGUAGCAGCCACGUAAAAUUUGCAACAACAAAGUAGAGGACGUCUAACUUGUUUUUGCAGGGCAUGUUGUGAUGUGAUAUGGUCAAGAGAUGAUGCUAAAUUUUAUUGUACGAGAUGAUCAUGUUUUUUAACCGAGUUAUCGGCAACUGGCAGGAGCCAUAUGGUUGUAAAUUUAUUGUAUGAAAUGCAAUCGCCAUGUAAUUGCUUUACUUUAUCACUAAGCGGUAGCGAUAGUCGUAGAAGCAAUAGUUGGCGAGACGACAACGAUGCUAUGACGGAGAUCAAGGUGUCGCGCCGGUGACAAUGGUGAUCAUGACGGUGCUUUGGAGAUGGAGAUCAAAGGCACAAGAUGAUGAUGGCCAUAUCAUAUCACUUAUAUUGAUUGCAUAUGAUGUUUAUCUUUUAUGCAUCUUAUUCUGCUUUGAUUGACGGUAGCAUUAUAAGAUGAUCUCUCACUAAAUUUCAAGGUACAAGUGUUCUCCCUGAGUAUGCACCGUUGCCAAAGUUCGUCGUGCCGAGACACCACGUGAUGAUCGGGUGUGAUAAGCUCUACAUUCAUAUACAACGGGUGCAAGCCAGUUUUGCACACGUAGAAUAAUCGGGUUAAACUUGACGAGCCUAUCAUAUGCAGAUAUGGCCUCGGAACACUGAGACCGAAAGGUCGAACGUGAAUCAUAUAGUAGAUAUGAUCAACAUAGUGAUGUUCACCAUUGAAAACUACUCCAUCUCACGUGAUGAUCGGACAUGGUUUAGUUGAUAUGGAUCACGUGAUCACUUAGAUGAUUAGAGGGAUGUCUAUCUAAGUGGGAGUUCUUAAGUUUGAUUAAUUGAACUUUAAUUUAUCGUGAACUUAGUCCUGGUAGUAUUAGCAUAUCUAUGUUGUAGAUCAAUAGCUCGCGUUUAGCUCCCCUGUUUUAUUUUUGAUAUGUUCCUAGAGAAAACUAAGUUGAAAGAUGUUAGUAGCAAUGAUGCGGAUUGGAUCCGUGAUCUGAGGAUUAUCCUCAUUGCUGCACAGAAGAAUUAUGUCCUUGAUGCACCGCUAGGUGACAGACCGAUUGCAGGAGCAAAUGCAGACGUUAUGAACGUUUGGGAAGCUCGAUAUGAUGACUACUUGAUAGUUUAGUGCACCAUGCUUUAUGGCUUAGAAUCGGGGCUUCAAAGACGUUUUUGAAACACCACGGAGCAUAUGAGAUGUUCCAAGAGUUGAAAUUAGUAUUUCAGACUCAUGCCCAUGUCGAAAGGUAUGAGACCUUUGACAAGUACUUUUCCUACAAGAUGGAGGAGAAUAGCUCAGCUAGUGAGCAUGUGCUCAGAAUGUCUGAGUACUACAAUCACUUGAAUCAAGUGGGAGUUAAUCUUCCAGAUAAGAUAGGGAUUGACAUAGUUCUCUAGUCACUAUCACCAAGUUACUAGAACUUCAUGAUGAACUAUAAUAUGCAAGGAAUAACGGAAAUGAUUCCCAAGCUCUUCGUGAUGCUGAAAUCGACGAAGGUAGAAAUCAAGAAAAGCAUCAAGUGUUGAUGGUUGACAAGACCACUAGUUUCAAGAAAAAGGGUAAAGGGAAGAAGAAGGGGAACUUCAGGAAGAACGGCAAACAAGUUGCUGCUCAGGAGAAGAAAUCCAAGUCUGGACCUAAGCCUGAGACUGAGUGCUUCUACUGCAAAGGGACUGGCCACUGGAAGCGGAACUGCCCCAAGUAUUAGUUGAAGAGGUAGGUUUAGGGUUUUGCGUGGGUGGUUAAUAUCCAGCCUCACGUCUCUUUAUAUAGAUGAUCAUAAUACAAUUACAUACGUAUACAAAUACGUGUACAUGUACAAUAUGCUAGACCCUAUUUUACAUGCCACCUCAAUUUGAACUACAUACAAGAUUCAGAUUGGUUCUAAAGCGGUCUAGCAUCUGUCGAGUAGCGGGUUUAGUAAAUACAUCCGCUAGCUAAUCAUCAGUUGAGAUAAACCUGACUUCCAGUUUACCAACAGCUACUCGUCCCCUCACGAAAUGGAAAUCAAUCUCAAUGUGUUUGGUCCGAGCAUGAACCACUGGAUUCGCCGUCAGGUAAGUUGCCCCUAAGUUAUCACACCACAAUAUGGGUGCGCGCUGCCGUGUGACUCCAAGUUCUGUGAGAACUGUAUCUAUCCAAAUGGCUUCAGCCGCGCCAUUGGCCAAUGCCUUAUACUCUGCCUCGGUGCUAGACCUCGAGACCGUAGGCUGCUUCUUGGAACUCCAAGGUAUAAGAUGUUGGGAAUCGUAGCAUAAUUUAAAAUUUUCCUACGCUCACCAAGAUGCAUCUAUGGAGUCUACUAGCAACGAGGGGAAAGGAGUGGAUCUACAUACCCUUGUAGAUCGCGAGCGGAAGCGUUCCAAUGAACGUGGAUGACGGAGUCGUACUCGCCGUGAUCCAAAUCACCGAUGACCGAGUGCCGAACGGACGGCACCUCCGCGUUCAACACACGUACGGUGCAGCGACGUCUCCUCCUUUCUUGAUCCAGCAAGGGGGGAGGAGAGGUUGAUGGAGAUCCAACAGCACGACGGCGUGGUGGUGGAUGUAGCGGCUCUCCGGCAAGGCUUCGCCGAGCUUCUGCGCGCGAGAGAGAGGUGUUGCAGGGGAGGAGGGAGGCGCCAAAGGCUGUAGUGUGCUGCCCUCCCUCCCCUCCCCUUUAUAUAGGCCCCCAAGGGGGGGUGCGCAGCCCUUGGAGAUGGGAUCUCCAAGGGGGGGGGCGGCGGCCAAAGGGGGAAGGGGUUGCCUUGCCCCCCAAGGCAAGGGGAAACUCCCCCCCUAGGGUUCCCAACCCUAGGCGCAUGGGGGGGAGGCCCAAAGUGGCGCCCCAGCCCAUCAGGGGCUGGUUCCCCUCCACUUUCAGCCCACGGGGCCCUCCGGGACAGGUGGCCCCACCCGGUGGACCCCCGGGACCCUUCCGGUGGUCCCGGUACAAUACCGAUAACCCCUGAAACUUUCCCGGUGGCCAAAACUGGACUUCCUAUAUAUAAUUCUUCACCUCCGGACCAUUUCGGAACCUCUCGUGACGUCCGGGAUCUCAUCCGGGACUCCGAACAACUUUCGGGUUUCCGCAUACAUAUAUCUCUACAACCCUAGCGUCACCGGACCUUAAGUGUGUAGACCCUACGGGUUCGGGAGACAUGCAGACAUGACCGAGACGCCUCUCCGGUCAAUAACCAACAGCGGGAUCUGGAUACCCAUGUUGGCUCCCACAUGUUCCACGAUGAUAUCAUCGGGUGAACCACAGUGUCGAGGAUUCAAUCAAUCCGUAUGCAAUUCCCUUUGUCAAUCGGUAUGUUACUUGCCCGAGAUUCGAUCGUCGGUAUCCCAAUACCUAGUUCAAUCUCGUUACCGGCAAGUCUCUUUACUCGUACCGCAAUGCAUGAUCCCGUGACUAACGCCUUAGUCACAUUGAGCUCAUUAUGAUGAUGCAUUACCGAGUGGGCCCAGAGAUACCUCUCCGUGUACACGGAGUGACAAAUCCCAGUCUCGAUCCGUGCCAACCCAACAGACACUUUCGGAGAUACCCGUAAUGCACCUUUAUAGUCACCCAGUUACGUUGUGACGUUUGGCACACCCAAAGCACUCCUACGGUAUCCGGGAGUUGCACGAUCUCAUGGUCUAAGGAAAAGAUACUUGACAUUGGAAAAGCUCUAGCAAACGAAACUACACGAUCUUUUAUGCUAUGCUUAAGUUGGGUCUUGUCCAUCACAUCAUUCUCCUAAUGAUGUGAUCCCGUUAUCAAUGACAUCCUAUGUCCAUAGUCAGGAAACCAUGACUAUCUGUUGAUCAACGAGCUAGUCAACUAGAGGCUUACUAGGGACAAGUUGUGGUCUAUGUAUUCACACAUGUAUUACGAUUUCCGGACAAUACAAUUAUAGCAUGAAUAAUAGACUAUUAUCAUGAACACAGAAAUAUAAUAAUAACCAUUUAUUAUUGCCUCUAGGGCAUAUUUCCAACAGUCUCCCACUUGCACUAGAGUCAAUAAUCUAGUUACAUUGUGAUGAAUCGAACACCCAUUGCGUCCUGGUGUUGAUCAUGUUUUGCCCUAGGGAGAGGUUUAGUCAACGGAUCUGCUACAUUCAGGUCCGUGUGUACUUUACAAAUAUCUAUGUCUCCAUUUUGAACACUUUCACGAAUGGAGUUGAAGCGACGCUUGAUAUGCCUGGUCUUCCUGUGAAACCUGGGCUCCUUCGCAAGGGCAAUAGCUCCAGUGUUGUCACAGAAGAGAGUCAUUGGGCCCGACGCAUUGGGAAUCACCCCUAGGUCGGUAAUGAGCUCCUUCAUCCAGACUGCUUCCUGUGCUGCCUCCGAGGCUGCCAUGUAUUCCGCUUCACAUGUAGAUCCCGCCACGACGCUUUGCUUGCAACUGCACCAGCUUACUGCUCCUCUAUUCAAAAUAUACACGUAUCCGGUCUGUGACUUUGAGUCAUCCGGAUCUGUGUCGAAGCUAGCGUCGACGUAACCCUUUACGACGAGCUCUUCGUCACCUCCAUAGACGAGAAACAUAUCCUUAGUCCUCUUCAGGUACUUCAGGAUAUUCUUGACCGCUGUCCAGUGUUCCUUGCCGGGAUUACUUUGGUACCUUCCUACCAAACUUACGGCAAGGUUUACAUCAGGUCUGGUACACAGCAUGGCAUACAUAAUAUACCCUAUGGCCGAGGCAUAGGGGAUGACACUCAUCUCUUCUAUAUCUUCUGCCGUGGUCGGGCAUUGAGCCGUGCUCAAUUGCACACCUUGCAAUACAGGCAAGAACCCCUUCUUGGACUGAUCCAUACUGAACUUCUUCAAUAUUUUGUCAAGGUAUGUACUCUGUGAAAGACCAAUGAGGCGUCUUGAUCUAUCUCUAUAGAUCUUGAUGCCUAAUAUAUAAGCAGCUUCUCCAAGGUCCUUCAUUGAAAAACAUUUAUUCAAAUAGGCCUUUAUACUUUCCAAGAAUUCUAUAUCAUUUCCCAUCAAUAAUAUGUCAUCCACAUAUAAUAUGAGAAAUGCUACAGAGCUCCCACUCACUUUCUUGUAAACACAGGCUUCUCCAUAAGUCUGUGUAAACCCAAACGCUUUGAUCAUCUCAUCAAAGCGAACGUUCCAAUUCCGAGAUGCUUGCACCAGCCCAUAGAUUGAGCGCUGGAGCUUGCAUACUUUGUUAGCAUUCUUAGGAUCGACAAAACCUUCCGGCUGCAUCAUAUACAACUCUUCCUUAAGGAAGCCGUUAAGGAAUGCCGUUUUGACGUCCAUCUGCCAUAUCUCAUAAUCAUAGUAUGCGGCAAUUGCUAACAUGAUUCGGACGGACUUCAGCUUCGCUACGGGUGAGAAAGUCUCAUCGUAGUCAACCCCUUGAACUUGUCGAUAACCCUUAGCGACAAGUCGAGCUUUGUAAAUGGUCACAUUACCAUCUGCGUCCGUCUUCUUCUUAAAGAUCCAUUUGUUUUCUAUGGCUCGCCGCUCAUCGGGCAAGUCAGUCAAAGUCCAUACUUUGUUUUCAUACAUGGAUUCUAUCUCGGAUUUCAUGGCUUCUAGCCAUUUGUCGGAAUCUGGGCCCGCCAUCGCUUCUUCAUAGUUCGAAGGUUCACCGUUGUCUAACAACAUGAUUUCCAGGACAGGGUUGCCGUACCACUCUGGUGCGGAACGUGUCCUUGUGGACCUACGAAGUUCAGUAACUUGAUCUGAAGCUUCAUGAUCAUCAUCAUUAACUUCCUCCCCAGUCGGUGUAGGCACCACAGGAACAUUUUCCCGCGCUGCGCUACUUUCCGGUUCGGAAGGGGUGACUAUCACCUCAUCAAGUUCCACUUUCCUCCCACUCAAUUCUUUCGAGAGAAACUCCUUCUCUAGAAAGGGCCCGUUCUUGGCAACGAAGAUCUUGCCUUCGGAUCUGAGGUAGAAGGUAUACCCAAUAGUUUCCUUAGGGUAUCCUAUGAAGACGCAUUUUUCCGAUUUGGGUUCGAGCCUUUCAGGUUGAAGUUUCUUGACAUAAGCAUCGCAUCCCCAAACUUUUAGAAACGACAGCUUAGGUUUCUUCCCAAACCAUAAUUCAUACGGUGUCGUCUCAACGGAUUUAGACGGUGCCCUAUUUAAAGUGAAUGCGGCAGUCUCUAAAGCAUAACCCCAAAAUGAGAGCGGUAAAUCGGUAAGAGACAUCAUAGAUCGCACCAUAUCCAAUAGAGUGCGAUUACGACGUUCGGACACACCAUUUCUCUGAGGUGUUCCAGGCGGCGUGAGUUGUGAAACUAUUCCACAUUUCCUUAAGUGUGUACCAAAUUCGUGACUUAAAUAUUCUCCACCACGAUCUGAUCGUAAGAAUUUUAUUUUCCUGUCACGUUGAUUCUCGACUUCACUCUGAAAUUCCUUGAACUUUUCAAAGGUUUCAGACUUGUGUUUCAUUAGGUAGACAUACCCAUAUCUACUUAAAUCAUCAGUGAGAGUGAGAACAUAAGGAUAUCCUCCGCGAGCCUCAACGCUCAUUGGACCGCACACAUCGGUAUGUAUGAUUUCCAAUAAGUUGGUCGCUCGCUCCAUUGUUCCGGAGAACGGAGUCUUGGUCAUCUUACCCAUGAGGCAUGGUUCGCACGUGUCAAAUGAUUCGUAAUCAAGAGACUCCAAAAGUCCAUCUGCAUGGAGCUUCUUCAUGCGCUUGACACCAAUGUGACCAAGGCGGCAGUGCCACAAGUAUGUGGGACUAUCGUUAUCAACUUUACAUCUUUUGGUAUUCACACUAUGAACAUGUGUAGCAUCACGUUCGAGAUUCAUCAAGAAUAAACCAUUGACCAGCGGGGCAUGACCAUAAAACAUAUCUCUCAAAUAAAUAGAACAACCAUUAUUCUCAGAUUUAAAUGAGUAGCCAUCUCGAAUUAAACGAGAUCCAGAUACAAUGUUCAUGCUCAAAGCUGGCACUAAAUAACAAUUAUUGAGGUUUAUAACUAAUCCCGUGGGUAGAUGCAGAGGUAGCGUGCCGACGGCGAUCACAUCGACCUUGGAACCAUUCCCGACGUGCAUCGUCACCUCGUCUUUUGCCAGUCUCCGUUUAUUCCGUAGUUCCUGAUUUGAGUUACAAAUAUGAGCAACCGCACCGGUAUCAAAUACCCAGGAGCUACUGCGAGUACUGGUAAGGUACACAUCAAUUACUUGUAUAUCACAUAUACCUUGGGUGUUGCCGGCCUUCUUCUUGUCCGCUAAAUAUUUGGGGCAGUUCCGCUUCCAAUGACCACUUCCCUUGCAAUAAAAGCACUCAGUCUCGGGCUUGGGUCCAUUCUUUGACUUCUUCCCGGUAACUGGCUUACCGGGCGCGGCAACUCCCUUGCCGUCCUUCUUGAAGUUCUUCUUACCCUUGCCCUUCUUGAACUUAGUGGUUUUAUUCACCAUCAACACUUGAUGUUGUUUUCUGAUCUCUACCUCAGCUGAUUUCAGCAUUGAAUACACCUCGGGAAUGGUCUUUUCCAUCCCCUGCAUAUUGUAGUUCAUCACAAAGCUCUUGUAGCUUGGUGGAAGCGACUGGAGGAUUCUGUCAAUGACCGCGUCAUCCGGGAGAUUAACUCCCAGCUGAGACAAGCGGUUGUGCAACCCAGACAUUCUGAGUAUGUGCUCACUAACAGAACUGUUCUCCUCCAUUUUACAGCUGAAGAACUUGUCGGAGACAUCAUAUCUCUCGACCCGGGCAUGAGCUUGAAAAACCAGUUUCAGCUCCUCGAACAUCUCAUAUGCUCCAUGUUUCUCAAAACGCUUUUGGAGACCCGGUUCUAAGCUGUAAAGCAUGCCGCACUGAACGAGGGAGUAAUCAUCAGCACGCUGCUGCCAAGCGUUCAUAACGUCUUGGUUCUCAGGGAUUGGUGCUUCACCUAGCGGUGCUUCUAAGACAUAAUCUUUCUUGGCUGCUAUGAGGAUGAUCCUCAGGUUCCGGUCCCAGUCCGUAUAGUUGCUGCCAUCAUCUUUCAGCUUGGUUUUCUCUAGGAACGCGUUGAAAUUGAGGACAACGUGGGCCAUUUGAUCUACAAUACAUAGUGUAAAGAUUUUUAGACUAAGUUCAUGAUAAUUAAGUUCAUAUAAUCAAAUUAUUUAAUGAACUCCCACUCAGAUAGACAUCCCUCUAGUUAUCUAAGUGAAACAUGAUCCGAACUCAACUAGGCCGUGUCCGAUCAUCACGUGAGACGGACUAGUCAAGAUCGGUGAACAUCUCCAUGUUGAUCGUAUCUUCUAUACGACUCAUGCUCGACCUUUCGGUCCUCCGUGUUCCGAGGCCAUGUCUGUACAUGCUAGGCUCGUCAAGUCAACCUAAGUGUAUUGCGUGUGUUCCGAGGCCAUGUCUGUACAUGCUAGGCUCGUCAACACCCGUUGUAUGCGAACGUAAGAAUCUAUCACACCCGAUCAUCAGGUGGUGCUUCGAAACGACGAACCUUCGCAACGGUGCACAGUUAGGGUGAACACUUUCUUGAAAUUAUUAGAAGGGAUCAUCCUACUUGCUACCGUCGUUCUAAGCAAAUAAGAUGCAAAAACACGAUAAACAUCACAUGCAAUCGAAUAGUGACAUGAUAUGGCCAAUAUCAUCAUGCUCCUUUGAUCUCCAUCUUCGGGGCACCAUGAUCAUCUUCGUCACCGGCAUGACACCAUGAUCUCCAUCAUCAUGAUCUCCAUCAUUGUGUCUUCAUGAAGUUGUCACGCCAACGAUUACUUCUACUUCUAUGGCUAACCGUUUAGCAACAAAGUAAAGUAAAUUACAUGGCGUUAUUCAAAUGACACGCAGGUCAUGCAAAAUAAUAAAGACAACUCCUAUGGCUCCUGCCGGUUGUCAUACUCAUCGACAUGCAAGUCGUGAUUCCUAUUACAAGAAUAUGAUCAAUCUCAUAUAUCACAUAUAUCAUUCAUCACAUCUUCUGGCCAUAUCAUAUCACAUAUAUCACUUGCUGCAAAAACAAGUUAGACGUCCUCUAAUUGUUGUUGCAAGUUUUUUUUUUACGUGGUUUGUAGGUUUCUAGCAAGAACGAUUUCUUACCUACGUAUGACCACAACGUGAUUUGCCAAUUUCUAUUUACCCUUCAUAAGGACCCUUUUCAUCGAAUCCGUUCCGACUAAAGUAGGAGAGACAGACACCCGCUAGCCACCUUAUGCAACUAGUGCAUGUCAGUCGGUGGAACCUGUCUCACGUAAGCGUACGUGUAAGGUCGGUCCGGGCCGCUUCAUCCUACAAUGCCGCCGAAACAAGAAACGACUAGUAGCGGCAAGAAGAAUUGGCAACAUCAACGCCCACAACUUCUUUGUGUUCUACUCGUGCAUAGUAACUACGCAUAGGCCUGGCUCAUGAUGCCACUGUUGGGAAUCGUAGCAUAAUUUAAAAUUUUCCUACGCUCACCAAGAUGCAUCUAUGGAGUCUACUAGCAACGAGGGGAAAGGAGUGGAUCUACAUACCCUUGUAGAUCGCGAGCGGAAGCGUUCCAAUAAAUGUGGAUGACGGAGUCGUACUCGCCGUGAUCCAAAUCACCGAUGACCGAGUGCCGAACGGACGGCACCUCCGCGUUCAACACACGUACGGUGCAGCGACGUCUCCUCCUUUCUUGAUCCAGCAAGGGGGGAGGAGAGGUUGAUGGAGUUCCAACAGCACGACGGCGUGGUGGUGGAUGUAGCGGCUCUCCGGCAGGGCUUCGUCGAGCUUCUACGCGAGAGAGAGAGGUGUUGCAGGGGAGGAGGGAGGCGCCAAAGGCUGUAGUAUGCCGCCCUCCCUCCCCCCCUUUAUAUAGGCCCCCAAGGGGGGGUGCGCAGCCCUUGGAGAUGGGAUCUCCAAGGGGGGGGGGCGGCGGCCAAGGGGGAAGGGGUUGCCUUGCCCCCCAAGGCAAGGGGAAACUCCCCCCCCCUAGGGUUCCCAACCCUAGGCGCAUGGGGGGAGGCCCAAAGUGGCGCCCCAGCCCAUUAGGGGCUGGUUCCCCUCCACUUUCAGCCCACGGGGCCCUCCGGGACAGGUGGCCCCACCCGGUGGACCCCCGGGACCCUUCCGGUGGUCCCGGUACAAUACCGAUAACCCCCGAAACUUUCCCGGUGGCCAAAACUGGACUUCCCAUAUAUAAUUCUUCACCUCCGGACCAUUCCGGAACCUCUCGUGACGUCCGGGAUCUCAUCCGGGACUCCGAACAACUUUCGGGUUUCCGCAUACAUAUAUCUCUACAACCCUAGCGUCACCGGACCUUAAGUGUGUAGACCCUACGGGUUCGGGAGACAUGCAGACAUGACCGAGACGCCUCUCCGGUCAAUAACCAACAGCGGGAUCUGGAUACCCAUGUUGGCUCCCACAUGUUCCACGAUGAUAUCAUCGGGUGAACCACGGUGUCGAGGAUUCAAUCAAUCCGUAUGCAAUUCCCUUUGUCAAUCGGUAUGUUACUUGCCCGAGAUUCGAUCGUCGGUAUCCCAAUACCUUGUUCAAUCUCGUUACCGGCAAGUCUCUUUACUCGUACCGCAAUGCAUGAUCCCGUGACUAACGCCUUAGUCACAUUUAGCUCAUUAUGAUGAUGCAUUACCGAGUGGGCCCAGAGAUACCUCUCCGUUUACACGGAGUGACAAAUCCCAGUCUCGAUCCGUGCCAACCCAACAGACACUUUCGGAGAUACCCGUAAUGCACCUUUAUAGUCACCCAGUUACGUUGUGACGUUUGGCACACCCAAAGCACUCCUACGGUAUCCGGGAGUUGCACGAUCUCAUGGUCUAAGGAAAAGAUACUUGACAUUGGAAAAGCUCUAGCAAACGAAACUACACGAUCUUUUAUGCUAUGCUUAAGUUGGGUCUUGUCCAUCACAUCAUUCUCCUAAUGAUGUGAUCCCGUUAUCAAUGACAUCCUAUGUCCAUAGUCAGGAAACCAUGACUAUCUGUUGAUCAACGAGCUAGUCAACUAGAGGCUUACUAGGGACAGGUUGUGGUCUAUGUAUUCACACAUGUAUUACGAUUUCCGGACAAUACAAUUAUAGCAUGAAUAAUAGACUAUUAUCAUGAACACAGAAAUAUAAUAAUAACCAUUUAUUAUUGCCUCUAGGGCAUAUUUCCAACAUAAGAUUGGGUCCAACAAAUAUAGCAAAGCCACCAGUAGAACGCCUGUCAUCAACACAGCCUGCCCAGUCUGCAUCGGUGAAUAUACUGACUCCAGUAAAUCUGGACUUACGAAUCCGUAGUCCCAUGUCUAGCGUACCUUUGACAUACCUCAGAAUACGCUUAACUGCUUCCCAAUGAACCUCCGUAGGCUGAGACAGGAACUGGCAUACUUUGUUCACGGCAAAGGAGAUAUCUGGACGAGUGAUUGUCAGAUACUGAAGUGCUCCAACUACACUGCGAUACCUGAAAGAGUCGUCAGUACUCAGCAAUGCACCACUGUGACGCGAAAGGCUCUCGGAUGUAGCAAGUGGAGUGGAAGUGGACUUGCAGUUCUCCAUGUUGACGCGAUGAAGGAGAUCAAGUGCAUACUUCUUCUGCGUCAAUGUCAUGCCCCCUGAAUGGAAGGACGCUUCCAAACCAAGGAAGUACUCCAACCGGCCCAAGUCUUUGAUUGGAAAACUCGCAGACAAGGACUGCACAAGGCGAUCCACCGCAGUAGGUGUAGAACCAGCAAUCACAAUAUCAUCAACAUACACCAGCAUGUAUAUCUGAAUAGCACCAUGUGAAAAGAUGAACAGAGACGCAUCUGCCUUGGAGGGAACAAAACCAAGAUGUGAGAGCCGUUGACUCAACCAAGCAUACCAGGCACGCGGCGACUGUUUGAGCCCGUAGAUGGACCUGUGGAGUUUGCAGACAUGAGAGGGAUAACGAGCAUCCUCAAAACCAGGGGGCUGCUGCAUGUAGACAUCUUCGGCCAGAAAACCAAGGAGAAAGGCAUUACUCACAUCAAUCUGUCGAAGACUCCACCCGCGGGAGACAGCGAGAGAGAGGACCAGACGAACCAUGGCAGGCUUCACCACGGGGCUGAAAGUAUCUCCAUAGUCGAUCCCUUGCUGUUGAGUAAAACCACGAGCAACAAGGCAAGCUUUGUGCUUGUCAACAGAGCCAUCCGGACGAUGCUUGGUCUUAAAGAUCCAUUUGGAGCUCACAACAUUAACACCAGCAGGCCGAGGCACCAACACCCAUGUGUUCGUGUGACAAAGGGCAGCAAAUUCCGCAGACAUGGCGGCACGCCAAGCCGGUUCACCAAGAGCAUCACGAUGAGAAGUGGGUGCGGCAAAGAAUGCACGCCGACGAGUGUCGUACCGCACCGUGCCAUCCGUGUAUGUCUUGGCCUUACGCGUAUGAUCACGGUGACGAGUGACCAUAGUGUGCCCGGGAGCUACAUCGUCGGUAGAUGGCGGCGGCGACGACGGGAACCCGACCAAUGGUGUCGCGGCUGAACCAUUUUCAGCAACAGGCGACACGGGCCGGGGAGACACGUCGGGCUGGGCCGAACCAGACGACGAGGGGAAGCCAGGCGGGGACGGCAGCCCAGAGGAUGCGACUGGCGACCCGGCGAUGCCCGAGGCAGGCGAGGCGGGCUGGGCCGACCCAGGCGAGACAGGAGACUCAACGGGCGACCCAGUCGGGCCCGCGGUCGUGUCAGCGGGCGAGGCCGAUGGGUCCACAGCCGUGCCAGGGGGCGAGGCCAUCGAGGCAGCCUCAGGAGACGCAGCGGGCGACCCAGUCGGGCCAUGCACGUCGAUCACGCCGGCGGAUGCAGGUGCGGCGACGGUUUCCUGGGAAUAAAUUAGAGCAGCAUCUGCAGAAAACAGGUCAGGUGACAAAUAUGACAGGUCGUAUUUCGGCACAUGGACAUCCGAAACCGGUUCAUUAGAUGGAAAAGUGAGGGCGUGCUCAAUAGAAGCAAUAUCAACCGAGACAGCCGGGCUGGAGUAAGGGAAAACCGACUCGUCGAAAACAACAUCACGAGAAAUGUAGAUCCUACCCGAGGUGCGAUCAAGACACUUGUAGCCCCUAUGCAGAGGACUAUAACCAAGGAAAACACACAUCUUGGAGCAGAACUCCAGCUUGUGAUCAUUAUACUUGCGGAGACUAGGCCAACAAGCACACCCAAAAAUCCUAAGAGAGGAAUAGUUGGGCUGAACAUGAAAUAGACGGAACAGGGGCGUUUCCUUGUUGAGAACCGGAGUGGGCAUACGGUUGAUGAGAUAACAUGCCGUAUGAAAGGCCUCAUCCCAAAAUCGGAGUGGGAGAGACGAAUGCGCCAGUAAGGCGAGGCCGGCCUCGACCAAGUGACGGUGUUUGCGCUCGGCAAUACCGUUCUGCUGAGACGUGUGUGGACACGAAACACGGUGGGAGAUGCCCGUGCGUUGAAAGUAGCGAUGAAGCUUGUGGUAUUCACCACCCCAGUCGGACUGAACGGCCUUCAUUUUGCAAUCCAAAAGGAGUUCGACAUGAGCCUGAAAGUUAUAUAAGACUUGCUCAACAUCAGACUUAUGUUUAAGCAAAUAAAUCCAAGUGAAGCGCGUGUAGUCAUCAACAAAACUAACAUAAUACUUGUACCCUCCCGAAGACGCAAUAGCGGGACCCCAAACAUCAUAAUGAAUUAAUUCAAGAGGUACAGUAGUGACAUGAUAAGAAAUAGAAUAUGGUAGUUGAUGACUCUUAGCACGCUGACAUGCAUCACACACUAAUGGUGAAUUAUUUGAACGAGAGCAAGGAAGGUCAUGGCUCCGAACAAUGGAGGUGACCACAUUAUUGGUAGGAUGACCUAGACGUUGAUGCCAUUGCGACGACGAAACACGAACACUAGAUGAAGCAUGGCGAGAUGACGAGGACGACGCACGAGCAAAAGGAAUCGGGUAGACCCCCUGCGACUGCUACCUUGAAGAAUGACGCGCCUGGUUGCUUUGUCCUUAACAAAGAAAAGACGACGGUAAAACUUAACAAACACGUCAUUAUCACAAACAAGAAGGUAGACAGAAAGGAGAUGCUCUCUGAUGUGUGGAACAUGAAGGAUGUUGCGCAGUUUAAGAGAUGAACCGGGUAAACGGGAAUGACCAAUGUGUGAAAAUAGACAAACCUGCACCAUUGGCCACCUGAACCUGGUCCUUGCCACCAUAGUGCUCAUGAACCUGGAGGCGUUCCAGAUCACUCGUCAGGUGAUCCGUAGCCCCGGUGUCCAGUACCCAAGGAUAGUCAACGGUGUUGGUGGAGGCCGAGUUGGCGGAGCGAGCGUUGUGGUCCUGGUCAUAGCGCUUGCGACACUCAUCGGCCUCAUGCCCCCAGUUUUUGCAAAUUUGACACCGGGGGCGCCACCGAUUGUUGCGACGGCCACCACCUCCGUUGUUGCCGUCGUUACCCCCACCACUUUGCCGACCAUUGCCAGCAUAGGAGGGGUUGUGGUCGCGGCCACCGUUGGGUCCGCCAUUGCCGCCUUGGCGGCCAUGCCCGGGCUGGCCGUUGCCGUCGGCCGAGUGACCCCCACCCUGGGAGGGGUAGGGCUUCGAGUAGGGAGCACGCCCGCCCUGGCCAUAGGGGCCCGAGCGAGUCACGGCAUUGGCGGAGGUAGUCCACCCCUCCGACACACUCUGCUGAGCCUACAACGCUUCGAACGACAAGACGAGCGAGUAGAAACUGGAGUAGGGCAUUGGUGCGUUACUCACACCCAGGGAGGCGGUGAUGGAGUUGUAGGCGGAGCCGAGUCCGGUGAGGAUGUGAUCAAUGAGCUCGUCAUCAUGAAUCGGAGAGCCGGCGGCAGCCAUGGUGUCGGCGAGGGCCUUCAUCUUGUGCAUGUACUCAGCCGCGGACAUCUCCUCCUUCCGCAGCGUCUGGAGUUGAUGCCGGAUGUGAAGGACGUUGGCACGACUCUACGCGCCGUACAUGGCACUGACCGCCGUCCAUACCGCCUGCGCCGUCUCGCAUCUGAUGAGCCGACAGGCGAUGUCCUCCUCCAUGGAGGUAAGAAGGAGGCCCUUGACCAUCUGAUCCUGAGUCCACCAAUGAUGAUACGCCGGAUUAGCGGCGGUCGUCGCGGCAUCGCCAUCCCGACAGCGAUAGUCUUGUCGGGUGCCGCCGUGGUGCCGUCCAGGUAGCCAUGGAGGUUGGCGUCGGCUAAGACGGUGCUGGCGAUGCCUCCCACAGCAUGAAGUUGUGGCGGCCAAGGCGAACGGAGAUCGCCGGAACAGCGAGGGCGGCGGGAACGGUGGCAGCCGCUGGCGAGGUGAUGGUGCCGACAAUGUUGGAGAGUGAAAGGGCGGCGGACGACAUCGCGACGGCGCGGAGGAGGACAGCGCGCGGCGGCGGAGAAGAAACUCACGGCGGCGCGAAAGGGCGGCACGCGGCGGCGGUGGCGGAUGGAUCGGGCGACGCGUACUGUUCGCGCGGCGGCCGUGUGGCUAGCUAGCAAGCAGGUUGAUGGAUCCUGCGUAUGUGCGUGGCUAGCUAGCAAGCUUGAUGGAUCCUGCAUAUGUGCGUAGCUAGCUAGCAAGCAGCGGCGGCUACGCGGAAGCUAGCUAGCAAGCAGCGGCGGCGACGCAGUAGAUGGGAUCGGGCGGCGACACGAGGGACGUGCGGCGGCGGCCCGACCUGGCUGAUACCAAGUUGAAGAGGUAGGUAGGGUUUUGCGUGGGUGGUUAACAUCCAGCCUCACGUCUCUUUAUAUAGAUGAUCAUAAUACAAUUACAUACGUAUACAAAUACGUGUACAUGUACAAUAUGCUAGACCCUAUUUUACAGUAUUUGGCGGAUAAGAAGGAUGACAAGAUGAGCAAAGGUAUAUGUGAUAUACAUGUUAUUGAUGUGUACUUUACUAGUGUUUAUAGCAACCCCUCGGGAUUUGAUACUUGUUCAGUUGCUAAGAGUAGUAACUCGAAACGGGAGUUGCAGAAUAAACAGAAACUAGUUAAGGGCGAGGUGACGAUGUGUGUUGGAAGUAGUUCCAAGAUUGAUAUGAUCAUCAUGGCACACUCCCUAUACUUUCGGGAUUAGUGUUGAACCUAAAUAAGUGUUAUUUGGUGUUUGCGUUGAGCAUGAAUAUGAUUUGAUCAUGUUUAUUGCAAUACGGUUAUUCAUUUAAGUUAGAGAAUAAUUGUUGUUCUGUUUACAUGAAUAAAACCUUCUAUGGUCAUACACCCAAUGAAAAUGGUUUGUUGGAUCUCGAUCAUAGUGAUACACAUAUUCAUCAUAUUGAAGCCAAAAGAUGCAAAGUUAAUAAUUAUAGUGCAACUUAUUUAUGGCACUGCCGUUUAGGUCAUAUUGGUGUAAAGCGCAUGAAGAAACUCCAUGCUGAUGGGAUUUUGGAAUCACUUGAUUAUGAAUCACUUGAUGCUUGCGAACCAUGCCUUAUGGGUAAGAUGACUAAGACUCCGUUCUCCGGAACAAUGGAGCGAGCAACAGAUUUGUUGGAAAUCAUACAUACUGAUGUAUGUGGUCUGAUGAAUACUGAGGCUCGCGGCGGGUAUCGUUAUUUUCUCACCUUCACAGAUGAUUUGAGCAGAUAUGGGUAUAUCUACUUGAUGGAACAUAAGUCUGAAACAUUUGAAAAAGUUCAAAGAAUUUCAGAGUGAAGUGGAAAAUCAUCGUAACAAGAAAAUAAAGUUUCUACGAUCUGAUCGUGGAGGAGAAUAUUUGAGUUACGAGUUUGGUCUUCAUUUGAAACAAUGUGGAAUAGUUUCGCAACUCAUGCCACCUGGAACACCACAGCGUAAUGGUGUGUCCGAACUCGUAACCGUACUUUAUUAGAUAUGGUGCAAUCUAUGAUGUCUCUUAUCGAUUUACCACUAUCAUUUUGGGGUUAUGCAUUAGAGACAGCUGCGUUCACGUUAAAUAGGUCACCAUCUAAAUCCGUUGAGAUGACGCCUUAUGAACUGUGGUUUGGCAAGAAACCAAAGUUGUCGUUUCUCAAAGUUUGGGGUUGCGAUGCUUAUGUGAAAAAGCUUCAACCUGAUAAGCUCGAACCCAAAUCAGAGAAAUGUGUCUUCAUAGGAUACCCAAAGGAGAGUGUUGGGUACACCUUCUAUCACAGAUCCGAAGGCAAGACAUUCGUUGCUAAGAAAUGGAUCCUUUCUAGAGAAGGAGUUUCUCUCGAAAUAUGUGAGUGGGAUGAAGGUAGAACUUGAUGAGGUAAUUGUACGUUCUCUUGAAUUGGAAAUUAUUUUUUCACUGAAAUCAGUUCAAGUGAUGCUUACACCAAUUAGUGAGGAAGUUAAUGAUGAUGAUCAUGAAGCUUUGGAUCAAGUUACUACCGAACCUCGUAGGUUAACCAGAGUACGUUCCGCACCAGAGUGGUAUGGUAAUCAUAUUCUGGAGGUCAUGUUACUUGACCACGACGAACCUACGAACUAUGAGGAAGCGAUGAUGAGCCCAGAUUCCGCGAAAUGUCUUGAGGCCAUGAAAUCUGAGAUGGGAUCCAUGUAUGAAAACAAAGUGUGGACUUUGGUUGACUUGCCCGAUGAUCGGCAAGCCAUAGAAAAUAAAUGGAUCUUCAAGAGGAGGACGAACACUGAUAGUAGUGUUACUAUCUACAAAGCUAGACUUGUCGAAAAAGGUUUUUGAAAAAGUUCAAGGUGUUGACUACGAUGAGAUUUUCUCACUCCUAGCGAUGCUUAAGUCUGUCUGAAUCAUGUUAGCAAAUUGCCACAUUUUAUGAAAUCUGGCAAAUGGAUGUCAAAACUACAUUCCUUAAUGGAUUUCUUAAAGAAGAGUUGUAUAUGAUGCAACCAGAAGGUUUUGUCGAUCCUAAAGGUGCUAACAAAAUGUGCAAGCUCCAGCGAUCCAUCCAUGGACUGGUGCAAAGCAUCUCAGAGUUGGAAUAUAUGCUUUGAUGAGUUGAUCAAAGCAUAUAGUUUUAUAUAGACUUGAGAUGAAGCCUGUAUUUACAAGAAAGUGAGUGGGAGCACUACAACAUUUCUGAUAAAUAUAUGUGAAUGACAUAUUGUUGAUCGGAAAUAAUGUAGAAUUUUCUGGAAAGCAUAAAGGAGUAUUUGAAAUGAGUUUUUUCAAAGAAAGACCUCGGUGAAGCUGCUUACAUAUUGAGCAUCAAGAUCUAUAGCAAUAGAUCAAGACGCUUGAUAAGUUUUUUCAAUGAGUACGUACCUUGACAAUAUUUUGAAGUAGUUCAAAACAGAACAGUCAAAGAAAGAGUUCUUGCCUGUGUUACAAGGUGUGAAAUUGAGUAAGACUCAAAGCCCGACCACGGCAGAUGAUAGAAAGAGAAUCAGCCAUAGGUUCUAUAAAGUAUGCCAUGAUGUGUACUAGAUCUAUUGUAUACCCUACACUGAGUUUGGCAAAGGAGUACAAUAGUGAUCUUGGAGUACAUCAAUGAACAGUGGUCAAAAUUAUCCUUAGUGGAAUAAGGAUAUGUUUCUCGAUUAUGGAGGUGACAAAAGGUUCAUCGUAAAGGGUUACGUUGAUGCAAGUUUUGACACUGAUCCAGAUGACUCUAAGUCUCAAUCUGGAUACAUAUUGAAAGUGGGAGCAAUUAGCUAAAGUAGCUCCGUGCAGAGCAUUGUAGACAUAGAAAUUUGCAAAAUACAUACGGAUCUGAAUUUGGCAAACCCGUUGACUAAACUUCUCUCACAAACAAAACAUGAUCACAACUUAGUACUCUUUGGGUGUUAAUCACAUGGCGAUGUGAACUAGAUUACUGACUCUAGUAAACCCUUUGAGUGUUGGCCACAUGGCGAUGUCAACUAUGGAUAUUAAUCACAUGGUGAUGUGAACUAUUGGUGUUAAAUCACAUGGCGAUGUGAACUAGAUUAUUGACUCUAGUGCAAGUGGGAGACUGAAGGAAAUAUGCCCUAGAGGCAAUAAUAAAGUUGUUAUUUAUAUUUCCUUAUAUCAUGAUAAACGUUUAUUAUUCAUGCUAGAAUUGUAUUAACCGGAAACUUAGUACAUGUGUGAAUACAUAGACAAACAGAGUGUCACUAGUAUGCCUCUACUUGACUAGCUCGUGAAUCAAAGAUGGUUAAGUUUCCUAGCCAUAGACAUGAGUUGUCAUUUGAUUAACGGGAUCACAUCAUUAGAUAAUGAUGUGAUUGACUUGACCCAUUCCGUUAGCUUAACAUUUGAUCGUUUAGUAUAUUGCUAUUGCUUUCUUCAUGACUUAUACAUGUUCCUAUGACUAUGAGAUUAUGCAACUCCUGAAUACCGGAGGAACACUUUGUGUGCUACCAAACGUCACAACGUAACUGGGUGAUUAUAAAGGUGCUCUACAGGUGUCUCCGAAGGUACUUGUUGCAUUGGCAUAGAUCAAGAUUAGAAUUUGUCACCCCGAUUGUCGGAUAGGUAUCUCGGGGCCCUCUCGGUAAUGCACAUCACUAUAAGCCUUGCAAGCAAUGCAGCUAAUGAGUUAGUUGCGGGAUGAUGUAUUAUGGAACGAGUAAAGAGACUUGCCGGUAACGAGAUUGAACUAGGUAUUGAGAUACCGACGAUCGAAUCUCGGGCAAGUAACAUACCGAUGACAAAGGGAACAACGUAUGUUGUUAUGCGGUUUGACCGAUAAAGAUCUUCGUAGAAUAUUGAUACGUCUCCAACGUAUCUAUAAUUUUUUAUUGUUCCAUGCUAUUAUAUUAUCUGUUUGGAUGUUUAAUGGGCUUUAUUAUACACUUUUAUAUUAUUUUCGGGACUAACCUAUUAACCGGAGGCCCAGCCCAAAUUGCUGUUUUUUUGCCUAUUUCAGUGUUCCGAAGGAAAAUGAUAUCAAACGGAGUCCAAACGGAAUGAAACUUUCGGGAACGUGAUUUUCGGAACAAACGUGAUCCAGAGGACAUGGAGUGGACGUCAAGCAGUCAAUGAGGAGGCCACGAGGCAGGGGGCGCGCCUACCCCCGUGGGCGCGCCCUCCAUCCUCGUGGGCCCCUCGUAGCUCCACCGACCUACUUCUUCCUCCUAUAUAUACCUACGUACCCCGAAAACAUCAGAUACGGAGCAAAAACCCUAUUUCCACCGCCGCAACCUUCUAUACCCGUGAGAUCCCAUCUUGGGGCCUGUUCCGGCGGUCCGCCGGAGGGGGCAUCGAUCACGGAGGGCUUCUACAUCGACACCAUAGCCUCUCCGAUGAUGUGUGAGUAGUUUACCUCAGACCUUCGGGUCCAUACUUAUUAGCUAGAUGGCUUCUUCUCUCUCUUUGGAUCUCAAUACAAAGUUCUCCUUGAUUCUCUUGGAGAUCUAUUCGAUGUAAUCUUCUUUGGCGGUGUGUUUGUCGAGAUCCGAUGAAUUGUGGGUUUAUGAUCAAGAUUAUCUAUGAACAAUAUUUGAAUCUCCUCUGAAUUCCUUUAUGUAUGAUUGGUUAUCUUUGCAAGUCUCUUCGAAUUAUCAGUUUGGUUUGGCCUACUAGAUUGAUCUUUCUUGCAAUGGGAGAAGUGCUUAGCUUUUGGUCCAAUCUUGCGGUGCUCGAUCCCAGUGACAGUAGGGGAAACGAUACAUAUUGUAUUGUUGCCAUCGAGGAUAACAGAUGGGGUUUAUAUCAUACUGCAUGAGUUUAUCCCUCUACAUCAUGUCAUCUUGCUUAAAGCAUUACUCCGUUCUUAUGAACUUAAUACUCUAGAUGCAUGCUGGAUAGCAGUCGAUGUGUGGAGUAAUAGUAGUAGAUGCAGGCAGGAGUCGGCCUACUUGUCACGGACGUGAUGCCUAUAUACAUGAUCAUACCUAGAUAUUCUCAUAACUAUGCUCAAUUCUAUCAAUUGCUCAACAGUAAUUCGUUUACCCACCGUAAUACUUACGCUCUUGAGAGAAGCCAUUACCUAUGGCCCCCGGGUCUAUUUUCCAUCAUAUUAAUCUCCUGUCAACAAGCUAUUUAUGGCACCGUUUAUUUUGCUUUGUUUACUUUUAGUCUUUAUCAUAAAAAUACCAAGAAUAUUAUCUUAUCAUCUCUAUCAGAUCUCACUUUUGCAAGAGGCCGUGAAGGGAUUGACAACCCCUUUAUCGCAUUGGUUGCAAGGUUCUUAUUUGUUUGUGUAGGUGCGUGGGACUUGAGCGUGGUAUCCUACUGGAUUGAUACCUUGGUUCUCAAAAACUGAGGGAAAUACUUACGCUACUUAACUGCAUCACCCUUUGCUCUUCAAGGGAAAACCAACGCAGUGCUCAAGAGGUAGCCAGAAGGAUUUGUGGCGCCGUUGCCGGGGAGUCUACGUACAAGUCAAGACAUACCAAGUACCCAUCACAAACUAUUAUCACUCGCAUUACAUUAUUUGUCAUUUGCCUCUCGUUUUCCUCUCCCCCACUUCACCCUUGCCGUUUUAUUCGCCCUUCUUCUGUUCGUCUUUUCAUUUGCCUUGAUGUCUUACUUGGCUCGUUUGCUCGUUUGGUUGAAUAAUUUAUUGCUAAACAAAGAACCUAAGAUCUAUGGAUCCUCAUCCGCUUGGUAAUCUUUUUAAGAGAUCCAAUUAUGAUGAAUCAAUUUCUAGUGAGUUUUGUGCACUAGAUUAUCUUUAUGAAGUUUUGCUUGAAAUCCGUGAAUCUGAAAAUUGUGAUGAAGUACUUUGUGAAGUGAUUUAUGAUAGAUAUUUGGAUAAAAAGCAUGAUUGCAAUGAUGGAAUUAUAAACUCUAUUAAUGUCAAUUGUGCUAAUAAUAUGCAAUACCAUAAACUUGGGGAUGCUAGUUUUGCUAGGUCCACUACCUGUUGCAAUGAUCAUGAUUGGGGUGAUUUUUCUUAUGAUGUUGAAAAUUUAUUUAAGCCCCAUGAUGAAUAUGAGAUUGAUAAGAGUGUUUGCAAUAAUAUUUAAAGUGGGUUUGGAAGAGUGUCAACUUUAGAUCCCACAUAUUUGGAGAAUGUCCAAUCUUAUGGUAUUUUUGAUAAAAGUGGGUUUGGAGAGGUCAUGACUUUAGUUAAUGAUAAUCCCACUAUUUUGGAAGAGUGUCAACUUCGCAUGCAUGUGGAUCGUAUUGAGAAUAUGUUAUGUGAUAGCUAUUUUGUUGAAUUUGCCUAUGAUCCUACAUGUAAUUAUUAUGAGAGAGGAAAAUAUGGUUGUAGAAAUUUUCAUCUUACUAAAUUACCUCUCGUCAUGUUGAGAUUGCUAUCGUCUCUUUCUUCUUCCUUGCAUAUGCUAAUUUUUGCUUGCUACGAUAUAUUGUUUGCUUAUAAAAUUCCUAUGCAUAGGAAGUAUGUUAGACUUAGAUGUGUUUAUCACGUGUUCUAUGAUGCUCUCUUUUUGCUUUAAUUCUUGUCUUUCAUGUGAGCAUCAUUAAAAUUAUCAUUGCCUAGCUAAAAGGCUUUCAAAGAAAAGCGCUUGUUGGGAGACAACCCAAUAUUUUUACUUGCUGUUAUUCAAUAAAUCUUUGAUCUAGCCUCUGGUUAGAUUUGUUUUUAUGUUUUAAUUAGUGUUUGUGCCAAGUUAAACCUAUAGGAUCUUCUUGGAUGAUAGUUAUUUGAUCUUGCUGAAAAUUCCAGAAACAUUCUGUUCACAAAAACAAAUGUUAAAAAUCACCAGAACGUGAUAAAAUACUGAUUCCAAUUGAAGUAGAUCAAUAAAAAAAUUGUCUAGGUCUUCCUAUUUGGGUAGAUUUUUCUGAGUUCCAGAAGUUUGCGUUAGAUACAGAUUAUUACAGACUGUUCUGUUUUUGACAGAUUCUGUUUUUCGUGUGUUGUUUGCUUAUUUUGAUGAAUCUAUGGCUUGUAAAAGAGCUUAUAAACCAUAGAGAAGUUGGAAUACAGUAGGUUUAACACCAAUAUAAAUAAAGAAUGAGUUCAUUACAGUACCUUGAAGUGGUGUUUUGUUUUCUUUCGCUAACGGAGCUCACGAGAUUUUCUGUUUAGUUUUGUGUUGUGAAGUUUUCAAGUUUUGGGUAAAGAUUUGAUGGAAUGUGGAACAAGGAUUGGAAAGAACCUAAACUUGGGGACGCCCAAGGCACCCCAAGGUAAAAUUCAAGGACAACCAAAAGCCUAAGCUUGGGGAUGCCCCGGAAGGCAUCCCCUCUUUCGUCUUCGUCUAUCGGUAACUUUACUUGGGGCUAUAUUUUUAUUCACCACAUGAUAUGUGUUUUUCUUGGAGCAUCUUGUAUGAUUUGAGUCUUUGAUUUUUAGUUUACCACAAUCAUCCUUGCUGUACACAACUUCUGAGAGAGACACACAUGAUUCGGAAUUUAUUAGAAUACUCUAUGUGCUUCACUUAUAUCUUUUGAGCUAUAUAGUUUUUGCUCUAGUGCUUCACUUAUAUCUUUUAGUUCACGGUGGUGGUUUUGUUUUAUAGAAAUUAUUGUUCUCUCAUGCUUCACUUAUAUUAUUUUGAGGGUCCUACAAAACAGCAUGGUAAUUUGCUUAAAUUGUGAAAUUAGUCCUAAUAUGAUAGUCAUCCAAUAUUAGUAAAAACUUUCUUAUAAUUGCGUUGAAUACUAAGAGAAGUUUGAUACUUGAUGAUUGUUUUGAGAUGUGGAGGUAGUGAUAUUAAAGUUGUGCUAGUUGAGUAAUUGUGAAUUUGAGAAAUACUUGUGUUGAAGUUUGCAAGUCCCGUAGCAUGCACGUAUGGUAAACAUUGUGUAACAAAUUUGAAACAUGAGGUGUUCUUGGAUUGUCCUCCAUAUGAGUGGCGGUCGGGGACGAGCGAUGGUCUUUCCUACCAAUCUAUCCCCCUAGGAGCAUGCGCGUAGUGCUUGGUUUUUGAUGACUUGUAGAUUUUUGCAAUAAGUAUGUGAGUUCUUUAUGACUAAUGUUGAGUCCAUGGCGCACUCUCACCCUUCCAUCGUUGCUAGCCUCUUCGGUACCAUGCAUUGCCCUUUCUCCCUUGAGAGUUGGUGCAAACUUCGCUGGUGCAUCCAAACCCCGUGAUACGAUACGCUCUAUCACACAUAAACCUCCUUAUAUCUUCCUCAAAACAGCCACCAUACCUACCAAUUAUGGCAUUUCCAUAGCCAUUCCGAGAUAUAUUGCCAUGCAACUUUCCACCAUUCCGUUUAUCAUGACACGCUUCAUCAUUGUCAUAUUGCUUUGCAUGAUCAUGUAGUUGACAUCGUAUUUGUGGCAAAGCCACCAUGCAUAUUAUUUCAUACAUGUCACUCUUGAUUCAUUGCCCAUCCCGGUACACCGCCGGAGGCAUUCAUAUAAAGUCAUACUUUGUUGUAGUAUCGAUUUGUAAUCAUUGAGUUGUAAAUAAAUAGAAGUGUGAUGAUCAUCAUUCAUAGAGCAUUGUCCCAAAAAAAAGAGAAAGGCCAAAAAAAGGGAAAGGCCCAAAAAAAGGAAAAUAAAAAGGGGGCAAUGCUACUAUCCUUUUUUCCACACUUGUGCUUCAAAGUAGCACCAUGAUCUUUAUGAUAGAGAGUCUUUUGUUUUGUCACUUUCAUAUACUAGUGGGAAUUUUUAUUAUAGAACUUGGCUUGUAUAUUCCAACAAUGGGCUUCCUCAAAUGUCCUAGGUCUUCGGGAGCAAGCAAGUUGGAUGCACACCCACUUAGUUUCUUUUGUUGAGCUUUCAUAUAUUUAUAGCUCUAGUGCAUCCGUUGCAUGGCAAUCCCUACUCCUUGCAUUGACAUCAAUUGAUGGGCAUCUCCCUAGCCCCUUGAUUAGUCGCGUCAAUGUGAGACUUUUUCCUUUUUUGUCUUCUCCACAUAACCCACAUCAUCAUAUUCUAUUCCACCCAUAGUGCUAUAUCCAUGGCUCACGCUCAUAUAUUGCGUGAAAGUUGAAAAAGUUUGAGAUUACUAAAGUAUGAAACAAUUGCUUGGCUUGUCAUCGUGGUUGUGCAUGAUGAGAGCAUUCUUGUGUGACGAAAAUGGAGCAUGACCAAACUAUAUGAUUUUGUAGGGAUGAACUUUCUUUGACCAUGUUAUUUUGAGAAGACAUAAUUGCUUAGUUAGUAUGCUUGAAGUAUUAUUAUUUUUAUGUCAAUAUUAAACUUUUAUCUUGAAUCUUUCGGAUCUGAAUAUUCAUGCCACAAUUAAGAGAAUUACAUUGAAAAUUAUGCUAAGUAGCAUUCCACAUCAAAAAAUUUGUUUUUAUCAUUUACCUACUCGAGAACGAGCAGGAAUUAAGCUUGGGGAUGCUUGAUACGUCUCCAACGUAUCUAUAAUUUUUUAUUGUUCCAUGCUAUUAUAUUAUCUGUUUUGGAUGUUUAAUGGGCUUUAUUAUACACUUUUAUAUUAUUUUCAGGACUAACCUAUUAACCGGAGGCCCAGCCCAAAUUGCUGUUUUUUUUCCUAUUUCGGUGUUUCGAAGGAAAAGGAUAUCAAACGGAGUCCAAACGGAAUGAAAACUUCGGGAACGUGAUUUUCGGAACAAACGUGAUCCAGAGGACUUCGAGUGGACAUCAAGCAAACAACAAGGAGGCCAUGAGGCAGGGGGGCGCGCCUACCCCCCUAGGCGCGCCCUCCACCCUCGUGGGCCCCUCGUAGCUCCACCGACCUACUUCUUCCUCCUAUAUAUACCUACGUACCCCGAAAACAUUAGAUACAUAGCCAAAACCCUAUUUCCACCGCCGCAACCUUCUGUACCCGUGAGAUCCCAUCUUGGGGUCUUUUCCGGUGCUCCGCCGGAGGGGGCAUCGAUCACGGAGGGCUUCUACAUCAACACCAUAGCCUCUCCGAUGAUGUGUGAGUAGUUUACCUCAGACCUUCGGGUCCAUAGUUAUUAGCUAGAUGGCUUCUUCUCUCUCUUUGGAUCUCAAUACAAAGUUCUCCUUGAUUCUCUUGGAGAUCUAUUCCAUGUAAUCUUCUUUUGCGGUGUGUUUGUCGAGAUCCGAUUAAUUGUGGGUUUAUGAUCAAGAUUAUCUAUGAACAAUAUUUGAAUCUCCUCUGAAUUCUUUUAUGUAUGAUUGGUUAUCUUUGCAAGUCUCUACGAAUUAUCAGUUUGGUUUGGCCUACUAGAUUGAUGUUUCUUGCAAUGGGAGAAGUGCUUAGCUUUGGGUUCAAUCUUGCGGUGCUCGAUCCUAGUGACAGUAGGGGAAACGACAAGUAUUGUAUUGUUGCCAUCGAGGAUAAAAAUAUGGGGUUUAUAUCAUAUUGCAUGAGUUUAUCCCUCUACAUCAUGUCAUCUUGCUUAAAGCAUUACUCCGUUCUUAUGAACUUAAUACUCUAGAUGCAUGCUGGAUAGCGGUCGAUGUGUGGAGUAAUAGUAGUAGAUGCAGGCAGGAGUCGGUAAUACUUGUCACGGACGUGAUGCCUAUAUACAUGAUCAUACCUAGAUAUUCUCAUAACUAUGCUCAAUUCUAUCAAUUGCUCGGCAAUAAUUCGUUUACCCACCGUAAUACUUAUGCUCUUGAGAGAAGCCACUAGUGAAACCUAUGGCCCCUGGGUCUAUUUUCCAUCAUAUUAAUCUCCUGUCAACAAGCUACUUCUGGCACCGUUUAUUUUGCUUUCUUUACUUUUAGUCUUUAUCAUAAAAAUACCAAAAAUAUUAUCUUAUCAUCUCUAUCAGAUCUCACUUUUGCAAGUGACGUGAAGGGAUUGACAACCCCUUUAUCGCGUUGGUUGCAAGGUUCUUAUUUGUUUGUGUAGGUGCGUGGGACUUGAGCGUGGUCUCCUACUGGAUUGAUACCUGGUUCUCAAAAACUGAGGGAAAUACUUACGCUACUUUACUGCAUCAUCCUUUCCUCUUCAAGGGAAAACCAACGCAGUGCUCAAGAGGUAGCAAAUAUGUAGGAGCCAAUAUGAGCAUCCAGGUUCCGCUAUUCGUUAUUGACCGGAGACGUGUCUCGGUCAUGUCUACAUAGUUCUCGAACCCGUAGGGUCCGCACGCUUAAUGUUCUGUGACAAUCGGUAUUAUGAGUUUUUGUGUUUUGAUGUACCGAAGGUAGUUCGGAGUCCCAGAUAUGAUCACGUACAUGACGAGGAGUCUCGAAAUGGUCGAGACAUAAAGAUCGAUAUAUUGGAAGCCUAUAUUUGGACCGGGAUUUUACCGGAGUACCGGGAGGUUACCGGAACCCCCCGGUAAUUGGAUGGGCCUUAAUGGGCCAUAGUGGAGAGAGAGAGAGGAGGCAAGGGCAGGCCGCGCGCCCCCUCCCCCUCUGGUCCGAAUUGGACUAGGAGGGGGGCGGCGCCCCCUUUCCUUCCUCCCUCUCUCCCCCUUCCUUCUCUCCUAGUCCAACUAGGGAAAGGUGGGAAUCCUACUCCCGGUGGGAGUAGGACUCCUCCAGGGCGCGCCAUAGGGGCCGGCCCUCUCCCCCUCCUCCACUCCUCUAUAUACGUGGCCAGGGGGCACCCCAUAGACACACAAGUUAGUCAUUGAUAUUUUAGCCGUGUGCGGUGCCCCCCUCCACCAUAAUCCACCUCGGUCAUAUCGUAGCGGUGCUUAGGCGAAGCCCUGCGUCGGUAGCAACAUCAUCACCGUCAUCACGCCGUUGUGCUGACGGAACUCUCUCGUGAAGCUCUGCUGGAUCGGAGUUCAUGGGACGUCACCGAGCUGAACGUGUGCUGAACUCGGGGGUGUCGUGCGUUCGGUACUUGGAUCGGUCGGAUCGUGAAGACAUACGACUACAUCAACCGUGUUCUCAUAACGCUUCCGCUUAUGGUCCACGAGGGUACGUGGACGACACUCUCCCCUCUCGUUGCUAUGCAUCACCAUAAUCUUUCGUGUGCGUAGGAUUUUUUUUUGAAAUUACUACGUUCCCCAACAUAUGCCCUGCAUCGUCCCCUAGCAGGUCGACUCGGGCGGCGGCCAUCAACUUCUAGUCAACGUCCCUCCCUGCUCCGCUCCUCCUCCUUGCCUCCAUCGGUAGCCAUUGCCGGAUAGAACCCGCGAGUGGUGGUGGUGGCGAGGAAACUCGGCUGGUCCCCUCUUCGUGGUGGUUGCUGGUACACCGACGGUGAUGGAUGCCGGAGAUAGGGCUCCUAGGCGGCGGCCCCUCUUCGAGGUGAUGGCACCUGCGGUGGGCUUGCAGGCUGCACAUGGAGCCGCCGCAGCGGCAGCGAUGGGGCUUGGAGUCGCCGGAUCUAGCUAGGAGUGGCAGGUCCCCGUCUCAUGCCAUGGUUGGCGUCUCGCCAAUUCGGGCCUCAAUGGUUCCGGCUGGCACAAUGCGACGUCAAUGAACUUUGUUUGUAGUCUGGAUCGAGAGGAGGGCGGCAUGGGGGAUGCUGGCUUCGGCAUAAUAAUGGCGGUUUGGCCCUAGUGCUCUUCUUCCUCCAAGUCGUCUUUCUGCCAGAUGUCGACCUCUUGGAUCUGGCCGCUGAAAAAUUCCGGUCUUCCCCGGCGCAGAUCUAUACGGCUUGCGUAUGUCGUCCCUGGAUAUCUAGAUCGGUAAGCCUCCGGUCGCGCGCGCUCAUAUUAUCAGCCAGCACAGCCUCAAGAGGGCAUGGUGUGAAGCUUCGAUUUCUUAUCGGUUUCAUGGGACAUGUGUAAGUCAAAAUUCCCAAGGCAUUGAUAGAGGUGGAGAAAAUCAUGGCGGCUGCGGUUAGAGGUCUUGAAGCUUUGGUGCGAGGGUGUAUUGGAUGCGAUGAAGACUGUGUGCUAGGUAUUUGGUGACUUGCAACAGCGGCCUCGGCAGGCGGGGUCAGCAACACUGGAGACUGCAUUUUGGUGGAGCUCCUCGAGUACCGAUACCAAAUUCCCAGGGUGAAACCCCAAGGUUUGGCCUUUAUUGGUUGUACUUGGAUGGCCUUGUUGAUGGAAUUGUUUUUGGAGGGUGAAAACUCAAGAUCUUCACUCGGGCAACGACAAUGCUUGUUACAAAAUUGCUUUUGGAGAACCUCUUCCGUAAUCUGGGUGUUGUCUUCGGUGGUGGGUGUUGUUUUCGGUGGUGGCUAGUCAUUGAUUAUUGUGGGGCUUCUUUUUUCUUCUAUUCUUUUUAUAUUCUUUUUUGGCCGCAUGUAUUUGUAAUGCCUUUGGACAUCUGGUUGAUACAGAGGCCAGGUGUAAUUUAUAUAUUCCCUUGGUAAAAACAAAACAGUCCAUUUAGGCCUAUGUACUGGUAGAACGCGAAAGUCCAUGCGGUCUAGAACGAUUUACUUGUUCUUCGAUGAAAAGUCUGAAACAGCUAGCCAGUGACAACAUAUAGGGAAAACGAGACCAUAAUAGCACAAGUUAAUAAGAAGGUAAACUCUUGAUGAAAAUAUUAAUAAAAUUGCAUCUAAUGUCUUUUGAUCAUAUGGCGAUAAAAUUAUGCAUCACACAGUAAUAUUUUUACAAUAAUCCCGCAUCGGAAGAUUUGAUCCCUUAUUACAAAAUUGACAUCUAGCCAUCCGACGUUCGCUACUGCUGGAAAAUAACGAGCAGGUGCAUGAUCCAUGGCGUUCACAUCGAUGAAUUGGUCCAACGGUAUCUUUGAUAUGAUAUAUGUAUGCAUGUAUAUAUAGGAGUUGAGCAAUGGGAUGGGAGAUUAAUUUACAACUCCCGUGUGUCGAACUUGGCAAAGACGAAGUCGUACUGGCCGCCGACCAGUUUGAGGGCUCCGUUGGCCACAGCCUCCUUUGUUGAACCGGGCAUAACCCCUUUCCAUUACUCUCAUAACGGAAAUACAUCCAGUUCCACUUAGUACCCAUGAAACCUAGAAAGAGGAAAGCGAGUCCAACGCAUCACUGGGAAACCCACGGUGGACACCCGUCAUCGAGCAGUCUACCAUGGGGCGAAAACCCAGUGACACCGGACCAACUACAAGGACCUAAAUAGCUCAGCAAUCCAGCCAUUACAAGACUCAUCAGUUAGGCUGCAACAAAAGCUCACGCAGGAGAAAGAACCCAAUAAAGUUUAAGCAGACCAACAACAGCCUAUGGCACCGCAAGAGAAGCACAACCAAACAUGAGCAGAAUGUCUUGAAUGAAGUUCGGCUCCCAGCUGCAAACGACCCAGCUCAGCUCUGCAUCGGAUCACUAGGCGUCGCGCAGAUCCUCAUCAUGUUCGAAGCGUUGAUCCUUAGAAUCUUAGAUCCUCGCUCCAUAGCCUCCCGAUCAUCACCAUCAGCAUCCCUGCCCAAUAGGUAAGAAAGCCACAUGCAGAGUAUACCGCAUCAAAGGGAGAUCUCAUCUUUUUGAAUUCAAAGGUUUUCUUAUGUCGACUAUUCCACAUUGCCCAUCAAAGAGCAGCUAGGCCAAAGGUACAAAAUCUCUCCCCAUCAGGGAGGAAGGUGUAACACCAAGCAAAAUAUUGCCAAAUGUUGUUAGGGCAAAGAUCCGUACCCAGCACACAGCCCACUAUUCUCCACAUUACUCUAGCCACGGGACAAGUAAAAAAUAGGUGUUGCGAUGCUUCCCUUUCAUCACAGAAGGAGCACACGGGUCUCCCCAGCCACCCACGCCUGUUCAUGACAUCUCUGGUCAGAACAGAGUCCUGAGACAGCUGCCAGAGAAAAAAUUGGAUUUUGAGAGGGAUUUUAGCCCUCCAAAUCCACUUAAAAUUACAUCCAGCUAGGGUUCUCUCGAGGAAGUCAUAAACCGAUUUAGUGGUAAAUUUUCGUUUCUUCCCCAAGGUCCAAACGACUUGGUCAGGGUCGUUAGAAAGAGGCCAUGACCCCACUCUAGCUUGGACUUCUCUCCAUUUAUCAAGAAGAGGGGGAUGCAACCUUCUUCUGAAGAAAUUACCAUCCACAUUCUCCCUAAAUCUAGCCACAGUGGUCUCUUGAUCAUUGAAAACAUUGUAAAGGACAGGAAACUGAGCACAAAGUGGUAGAUCCUCUCCCCAAGGAUCCCUCCACAACCUGGGAAGGUUUCCAGAAUUAAGGACUACUUUUCUGCCAACAAGGUAAAGCUCUCUGAGAUUCAUGAUGGCCUUCCAGAUGGGGGAAUCACCAAAUAUGGUCUUAACACAUGUCACCGUAUCUUUUUGAAGUAUUUUGCCCGGAUAACUUCCUGCCACAACCCUUGUUGUGUUUCCAGCUUCCACCACCAUUUGGUGAGAAGACUAAUAUUUUGCUUGUGCAGGUCUUUCACACCCAGGCCCCCUUCUUCCUUAGAGCGACAAAUUCUGGACCACUUAACCAGAUGAUAUCGUUUCCGUCCCUCGUGCUCCUGCCAAAAAAUCGUUUAUGGUGCUUGUCAAGUUUAGCAAUUACCCCCUUAGGAAGAAGGAACAUAGACAUAUAAUAGUACACUAUACUAGUCAGUGAAGUGUUAAGAAGGAUGAGACNNNNNNNNNNNNNNNNNNNNNNNNNNNNNNNNNNNNNNNNNNNNNNNNNNNNNNNNNNNNNNNNNNNNNNNNNNNNNNNNNNNNNNNNNNNNNNNNNNNNNNNNNNNNNNNNNNNNNNNNNNNNNNNNNNNNNNNNNNNNNNNNNNNNNNNNNNNNNNNNNNNNNNNNNNNNNNNNNNNNNNNNNNNNNNNNNNNNNNNNNNNNNNNNNNNNNNNNNNNNNNNNNNNNNNNNNNNNNNNNNNNNNNNNNNNNNNNNNNNNNNNNNNNNNNNNNNNNNNNNNNNNNNNNNNNNNNNNNNNNNNNNNNNNNNNNNNUCUAGGACUCGCAACAUUUGAGGAAUCUUUCGUCCACAAAAUCCCAGUCUAGGUUGCGGAGGUACGAGAAGCUGACCGGCACCCCCAAGUACUUCAUUGAGCAGUGACCAAUACUACAGUUGAAAAGAUCAGCAGAAAAGGAAAUAGUGUCAUCAUCUCCCCCCACACAGUGAAUCUCACUUUUCAUGAAGUUAAUCUUCAAUCCGGACAUAAGUUUGAACAUAUAAAGUAAAAAUUUCAAGUUGACAGCAGCAUCUUUGUCAUGAUCAAAGCAAAGCACUGUGUCAUCUGCGUAUUGUAAUAUAGCUACUCCCCCCUCUAUCAGGUCAGGUGCAAGUCCAGUAAUCAUUUUCUCUUUUUGAGCAUUAGUAACCAUCUUCGAUAGGGCUUCCACAGCAAGAUUGAAAAGAAAGGGGAAUAUGGGUCACCUUGACGGACCCCUUUGUGGCUAUGGAAUUAGGGGCCUGUCUCAUUAUUGAGCUUAAUACUUAAGGUGCCAUUCUGUAGAAUCUUUUCCACCCAUCUACACCAGGUUGGCCACAGCCUCCUUGACGAACAUGCAUGUAAGUGUUGAGGUUCUGGAGGGACACUUUGACCGCCUCCUGUGGAAAUGAAACAACUAUAGUAAUGAACCGUGCUACAGUGUCAUGAGCACUACAGUGAGCUACUAGUGAGAUAUCGAGCUGACUGUGCAUAGUGGUCACUAUUUGUCGCAACCAGCGACAAGUAGGCGGCCAAAUCCUAUUUGGCACCCUCUGCAUCAGUUACAUGGUUACAACCCCUUCCACCCACCGACGCAUACCCCCUUCGUUCUGGGCUCGUCCAAUAUAUUUACUUACGAGUUUUCUUCUCUAUGUUUGCAGCAUACACCCUAUGUUUGUGGGCCACUCGUAUAGCCCGGUUUUGGGAAGCUUCUAGUUGCUUUUUAGUCCGGUUUUCUUUCUAUGUUUUAUUUGGUUUUCCUUCUGGUUUUGUUUUAUUAUUGUUUUCUUUUUUUAUUUUUUCCAUUAAUUUUUAUAAACAUUUUAAUAUGCGUUACUUUCUUGUUCAAAUAUGUGUAAUUGUUCAAAUGCUUGAACUUUUUCUUUUUUUUUGCAAUUUGUUUUUCAAAUUCAUGAACCCUUUUCAAAUCCAGAACAUGUUUUGAAAUUUUAUGACAUUUAAUCAAAUUCGUGAAAUGGUUUCUGUACUUGUGACCUUUUUCAAAUUUCUUAACUUUUUCUUGAAGUGAUGAACAUUUUCAAAUUCUUGAACUUUAUUCGAACUCGUGAAAUUGUGGAUUAAUGAACUUUUUUAAAAUAUAGUAACUUUUCCAAUUCUGUAAAAAAAAUCAAAUCAACAAAAAUAUUGUUUCACAAACCUUUUCUAAAUUUGUAAACAUUUGUUAAAUUCGUGAUCAUUUCUCAAGUUCGUGAAAAUCUCUCGAGUUCACGAACUAAUUUGCAUUUCCGUGAGCUCUUGCCAAAUUCAUGAAUUUUUUUCAAUUCAUGAACAUUUCUCAAGUUCAUGAACUUUUUGCUAAAUCAUGAUUUUUUAAGAAUUCAUGAACUUUUAGAAAUUUGUUAAAUUUUCUGUUUAAUCUGGUGAUUUUUUGGACUUUCUCGAAAGAUAAUGGUUCACCGGUAAAGCUCUCGACUUGUCACCACAUCAAACAAAAGAGGCGAGUACGCGAUCUCACGUUGUUGGGCCAUCCCCACGAGCGUGCGUGCGAGUGCUGCUUCUCUAGGCAGCGCAAUAAGAGCUGAUGUGGAGGGGAGCUCUUAUUAAUUAGUUGCUUUAGGCACCAAAAAGGUUCCUUGGUGCUCAUUACCUUCAUUCCUGGGCUAUGGCCCAACAAUGCCACUGCAACGGAACAAAACGCGAGCGGGUCGACCGUUCCCCUCGCUUCAGAUCUCUUGCUAGUUGACUGGUGGACCAGUUGACCAGUUGAUUUAAAAAAAACAUAUGUUUUGGACAAAAAAUCAUAAUAAAUCGCUUUGAAAAAAGUUCAUGCAUUUUGAAAAAAGUAGAGAAAAAGUUUAUCGAUUUUGAAAAUAGUUCACAAAUUUGGGAAAAAAUAUCAUCGAAUUUGAAGAAAAGUUCAUCAAUUUCGAAAAAGAAAGUUCAUCAAUUUGAAAAAAGUUCAUUGAAUUUGCAAAAAAUUCCAUUAAACUUGAAAGGAAAAGAUCAUCAAUUAUGAGAAAAGCAUAAUCAAUUUUGAAGUAAAAGUUCUAGAAUUUGAAAAAUGGUUAACGAACUAGGAAGAAUAAAAAGAAAAAAGGGGAAAGGAAAAAGGGAAAGGAAAACGAAAAGUAUAAAGAAGAAAAUAUGUAAAUCAUCACAUCAGGUUUGGUGGCGGGGGUGAUUGUUGUAGCGUACGUCGAAGCAAGAGGCAACUUAAGCUAGACAUGAGUGAUGGGCCGAGAGACAGAGAUGUAUCCCCUUGUUGAGUUUGAGAUUGACCGUCACAUGGUUGAUGGCUCACCAUCGUUCGACCACCUAUGACUAGCCCACAUCUCGUGGCCUCUGUCCCACUACCCUUGGACCACCCGAUUGCUCCCCUAUCCUCGCCAAUCGUUGGCCCUCGUUGGACGAGUGUGACAGUUUUACAUUGGUCUUGAUGCAAAAAUCACAUAAUGGGGUUAGUGAGAUGCGCAACUUGGGAAGCAAGGGCUUCUAUUCAUUUUCACAGUUUAUCACACAUGUCAAUGAUGGCGGGAAUCUACAUCCAGUCUGACAUUGGAGUACUCUAACAAAUCCACCAUCUGUUCCUUCAUCACGAUGAAUGUAAAAUGGUGGUGCGUGCAAUCCCAGUUGAGCUCUCCCUAUAGCACUUGAAGGGGGUUAGCGUCGGCAAAGAAGGACUAGCCAAGGAGUUGCUGGAACACUGUAAAAUGAAUAUCGCUUGAUUUUCCCAGAAGCAAUGGUGUUGUGCAUUGUCUUGCCCUGAUGCCUCUCAUGCUGACUUAUGAUAUAUGCGAGAUAAGCUUAGUCUUUUCAUCUUGGCAGCUCAUGGAUCGUCCACUAAAAAUGAGGAUACAAUUUUGAUUUACAUCACCAUACUUGAACUUAUGACACGAUACAAGUGGUAAGUUAGCACUUCAAGGGUGCAAAGAAAUUUUGCCUUGUUUAAAUAAAGAAAGCAGAAGGACAUGUUGUGUAGAAAUUCAGGUGGUAGCAUUGAAACUCGAAGAAAGCACAAUGAUUGGGUUGAAUUAAUCGCGAUAAAAAGAGGACAUGUUAGCAAUGGAGAGAUAAUCAAAGUCAAGUAGCAACAUUGAGGUUAUAUAAGUUGAAGUGCUAAAUUUUCGUCACUUGUAGAUGUCACCAAUACCAUUCUCGUAUACACCAACACGUAACACAUACAGUCAAAGGCCCAGAUAUGUGAAGCUCUCCGGUGAUGCCACAUGGCCAAUGCAUUUUUGCAAAACGGCCCCUCAAACUUACCAUAAUCAAAUGAGUUGCGGUGUUCGAGCUUGAGACUUCAACUACGCGGGUGCACGAGCUAAUCACUACACCAGAAGGUGCUUCGCAAUUCACAUAGAGGUAGAUAUUUUCUCAUAGUAUAUAUAUAGACAUUAAACGUUGAAAAUGUCACUUCUUCAAACUAAACGCACUAUUAACAUAGAAACAAAGCACUAAAGAUUGAGCUUGCAAACUACAUAGACAACACUAACACAAAACAAACACUUACAGACUAAAUCGAUAAACUAAAUACUAGUAACCUCUCCAUCUUCAAACCAAACACUCCUUGGAGGAUAUUCUCAUAAAAAACAACAUCAAGAUGAAAUAUAAUUUGGUCAUAUAAUAACGACAAAAACAAAGUUCUACCACAUGGUCAUCAACAUAACUUGAUCACCGAGUUAAUAUGAUCAGUCCAUGUUCUUGGCCAUAUAAAAGAUAUCCACAAAAUACAUCAAGUUAAUAUGAUCUACCAUACACUACACAUGUUCACAAAGUACAUCAAUAGGACAACACAAUACAAUAACAUCAAGCAGCUCACUAUAAGAGAAUAUCAAACAUCAUAGGACAGCAACAAAAGAUAGCCUGGAUGAGCUCUAACUCUCAUGUUUCUUCAGUAUAUCCUCAACUUCUAUUUUUCAUUUUAGAUGGCUGGUCUCUUCUUUAAAAGUUCUCUUGGCAACUAUUGAUGGAUGCCAUCAUCGUCAACGCUAAACAAAAAGCAUGCCUGGGCCGCAACCUAGCUUUCAGUUCAGCAGACAAUCACAAAUAAACAAACUAAAUACUAACAAAACAAUGGUACUAAUAUGGGGCAAGCAAGGAUCAUUGACUUGGUCAAUCCAGCAAGAAAUUUAGCCUCCACCAAAGCUCUCUAUUUGUAUAUAGAAGAUUCGAUUCGUGCAGGUUGACCAUCUUCUAACAUCGCCAGUUGUCACCUGCUGCAACACCCCGUUGAUCCAAAAUGCAAAGGGAUCAACUGAGUUUCUAGGUUUUGGAAUUUGGAGGGGAAAGGAAUAUCCAAUUUUACUCUCGCGCUCUAUGAUUUUACCUCUAUGAGAGAGCCACACGAAAUGCCUCGAAGGGUGGUCGGGGGAUUAUGAAAGUUUGAGGGGCUGUUUUGCAAAAAUACAGUGACCACGUGACAACACUGGAGAGCCCCAACGCAUCUAGGACCAUAACUGGGACCAUAUGUGCUACACAUUGGUGUAUACCGGAACAAUAUUGCGGCAUCUUUCAAGUCCUGGGAUGGUUGUGUUAUGCGCCAACAAGUUAAUGCACCAAGUGUAUAAUUUACUCUAAGUUAGCACUCCAAGGGUGGAAAGAAAGAAUACCUUGUAUAAAUAAAGAAAGCGGAAGAGCACAUGUUGUGUAGAAAGAGGUGGUAGCAUUGGUUGAAGAUACUACAAUGAUUGGGCUAAAUUAAUCGAGAUAAAAAUGACAUGUUAGCAAUGGAGAGGCAAUAAGAAGUAAAAUGAACAACAAAGUUGAGGUUUCACGUGGGAAAUCCUUGUGAGAAAAAACUUUGGGCACAUAUAGUGGCUAUCUUCAGAUACUGGGAGAUAUAUUUACAUAUGAAGGGGACACACUAUAUGAGAUGCCAAAUCAUCCUAUAUGGUUUAUAAGUGUUAUAAAUAAAGUGAUGUCAGUCUUUAAGAGUUGAAAACCUAAUCCCUCCAGCAUAACAGACUCGGCUAUGACAAAACAUGGCCUCUCAUCAUAAUGAUCUGGAUCAUACAUAAUAAGAUAUGAGAGGGUGCAAAACGACAAAUGACGUGGAUUAGAGAGAAAUAAUGCUUGAACAAGCAAUGCAUUAAGCACACACUAAGCUAAAAAAUGUGAAGACUAAGUACUCCGUGUUGGGAUGGAGUGUGUGGGUCGCAAAACAUUAUCUGAUUAGGUACAGAGAAUGCAAAUUAAAUAGCGAUGAUCAAGGCUUUUGCGUAACCAUGGCAUUACAAACAUGGCAAUUUGGAGUGCUUUGCCGAGAUUCUCCUACCAUGUGUUGAACUUAUGGUAGCUUUCAAACUCAUGGGACCUAGACAUCUGAUCCGGCUUGUUGCACAUCUAGCUGGUAUUAUUACCAUUUAAAGGGUUGUUCCCCUUCAUUCACGAUGCCAACAAAUAGAACACACUUCCGUAAGCAUUCAACAAUAUGUGUGCUAGAAUAAGUUUGGCAAUGUCUUCCAUGACACGUGAAUCGAUCAUAAAAUCUAUGGUAAAUCAAUUAUCAACAUCUUUUCUAUGAUCACGGCUUUACCAAAAGAGAUGAUGAUUUGGGUAGCUUUAUUGAGUUCUUGGAGAAGUAUCUGAACUAUAUUGAUAUAUGUGUGUGNNNNNNNNNNNNNNNNNNNNNNNNNNNNNNNNNNNNNNNNNNNNNNNNNNNNNNNNNNNNNNNNNNNNNNNNNNNNNNNNNNNNNNNNNNNNNNNNNNNNNNNNNNNNNNNNNNNNNNNNNNNNNNNNNNNNNNNNNNNNNNNNNNNNNNNNNNNNNNNNNNNNNNNNNNNNNNNNNNNNNNNNNNNNNNNNNNNNNNNNNNNNNNNNNNNNNNNNNNNNNNNNNNNNNNNNNNNNNNNNNNNNNNNNNNNNNNNNNNNNNNNNNNNNNNNNNNNNNNNNNNNNNNNNNNNNNNNNNNNNNNNNNNNNNNNNNNNNNNNNNNNNNNNNNNNNNNNNNNNNNNNNNNNNNNNNNNNNNNNNNNNNNNNNNNNNNNNNNNNNNNNNNNNNNNNNNNNGUGGGAAGGUGCAACCGGAGCAGCUAGACAGGGUCCCCAAAAUCUUGGGGCCCCUAAUUUAUCAAGUACUACGUUAUGUACUACUCUCUUCGUCCUUAAAUAGGUGUCUCAACUUUCUACUAAAUUUGGGACAAAGUUGAGACGCUUAUUUUGGGACGGAGGGAGUAUUAGUGUCUAAGCAAGUCACGGCCCAACUUGCUGAUUUGAGCCAAUGACCUAGUUAUGUGAUAGUCUCACCAUCACGGGACAGGAAGCAGUUUGCAUACGCGCGGGCGCACACACACACACCAAAUUCGACACAGUUGCCCCCCAAAAAAAUCGGCUCAGCGUCAACGGCCAAUCAAACCGUUGCAACUUAAUCCUUGGUCUCCUAGUCUCCUCUCUUUGAUUCUUCUCCAGUGGAUUAUCAAUUUCUCAGAAAGAGAGCAUUGAUGGCUAUGAACUGCUGGUUCGUUGCUGCCAUGGUGCUAACUCAAACUUAUAAACUGGGUGGAUUUUAUCGAUUCUCCAUUCUCUCUUUCAUCCCUCCAGAGCAGAGCAACAAUAGUUUCCAUUCGUUCUCUUGGUCGAGGAGCAGAGCCAUCGGGGCCCAAUACACCAUCAUUGCUUCAUGGUCUGCAUCCCUCAACACUAACCAGUCGUAGGUUCUUAUGUCCCUUUUUGUUUUGUACUCCUCUGUUCAUAAGUCAAUUUGCUGCUCUUUCAUGAAUUUUCGCAUCUAGCAUUAUAAUUUUCUGAGAUGUCUAACAAACAUAGGCACAAUUCUAAGAUUAUAACUUUAGUUAAUAGUUCAAAUUAAUAAAGAUUUCUUUUGUCAUGAUUUAUUUCUUUGAGAUUUCACAAUGGUUAAUUGAAAACAUUUAGUUUGUUUUACUGUAUGUGGGGUCUAAAUUGUGAUUUCGCACCGGGUUUCCAAUAAAGCAGCCUUGCGGGUUUCCUCGUGAAGGGGGCAUAAGUGCCACUCUUACCCGAUCCGAAGUCCUACGCUUACACGCCGAGUAUCCCUACUAGGAGAGAAAGGCCACUGCCAUGGCUAUAUAAUGAUGUUCAAGGCCCCGAAAGGGGAACCAAACAAUCACGAACAACCGAGACUGUAGUUAUCAUUGUGUGCAUUUCCUAGAUCGUCCGUCGUAGCCCAUCGAGUUGCUUAUCAGCUCGUUGGAUCCAUCAUCCUGUGUAACCCGGAUUGCACUAUAUCCCGAUUAAACAUGGGCAUACCCCCGUGCCGGAGUGGCCAUGCAAAAGACCAAACUAUAAAUAUAUAUGUAUGCCUAUAUCACAAUCCUUUUGUCUGAAUAUAAAGUGACAUCCCAUGACUACAUAAAUCCCGUAGAACUAUCAUACCAUUUGUGAGGCACCGACGAAAUUAGACUAGACACCAUCCCUUUGUAAAAGGGAAAAAAUAAUAGUUCCAACACAUAAACGUAAAUCACCGACUGUCAUUUUUCAAUGUCGAUGUCAAUAGUCAUGCAAGACCUCAAAUCUUUCAGUUGGGUAUAGUGGUGUUUGCAAUUUUGAUUUUCGAGCAAACUCAUGUCCUUAUUAGUUAUACAAACUCCUGUGUUCAUCUAAGAAAACUUAGGGUUGGCGGGUCUAGAACGAUAUUCUGUUCCUCACAGAAAAAUCUGAAACAGCUAGCCAGUGGCUCACAACAUAGGGAAAGCAAAACCUUAGGAGCUUAGGUCUCAUAGGUAGUCAGUACAGCCAUGUACUGUUUAUACCAUCUAACAGUCCAUAUGCACCUAUGAAUGCGCAGAUCGCAAAGGUCCAUGUCUAGAACGGUCAUUUGUUCGUCCAAGAAAAGUUUGAAACAACUAGCCAUUGCCACACAACAUAGCUAAAAGAAAACCAUAAGAACACAAGGUAAUACGAAGGUAAACUCUUGAUGAAAAUAUGAAUGAAAUUGCAUCUGAUGUCUUUUGAUCACAUGGCGAUCAAAUUAUGCAUCACAUAGUAAUAUUUGUACAAUAAUACCGCAUCGGAAAAUCUGACCCCUUAUUACAAAAUUGACAUCCAGCCAUCCAGCGUUCACUACUGCUGGAAAAUAACGAGCAGGUGCAUGCUCCAUGGCAUUCACAUCGAUGGAUCGGUCCCACGGUAUAUUUGAUAUGAUAUAUGUACGCAUGUAUGGAUCUGUAGGAGAUGAGCGAUGGGUGGCGAGAUUAAUUUACAGCGCCC